UCUAAUCCCAGUCUUCAAGCACAAUCUCUGUACUUUUACCAGUGUAAUUUGCUCACCACCUAUCCACAAUGUACAAUACAUAAUUCACCACAUUAAUGCUUGACAAUUAUAAAAUCAAUUCAGGCUCGGUGUAUAUGCAUGAUAUGAUAUGCAACUUAUUCGACUACAGCUUAAAUGCGGUGCUGACCUAAUUCGGCCAAUUACCCGAUUAACUGACAAUUGUGUACGAUUUGGCUCCAAAUUGCUCCAUUUCAUUUUUAAUAUUUAUAUUCACUAAAUACAAUUGCAAUAAUCUAAAAUUCAGACUAACAACCAUCACAAUUCUUCUUGAAAAUUUCGGCCAUUGUGGUGCACUAUCACUAAAAAUUUUCUGAUUCCAUUUUUUCACCAUAAAUCAUCAUUUCAUCAAUUUUUCAACUAAUUCACUUGAUCACAAAAUCAAUUCAUUACUUCUACACUUCACAUAGGGUUCGGCCAUUGAAGGUUCAUGGGGAAAAUGGAUUCUUUUCUUGUUGUUUUGCUUCUAAAUAUGCUAAACUAACUAAAAACACUAACAUAUCUUAAAAUUAAUUCAAUCCAACAUCUUUCUCUCUCCUUACCCAUUUUGACCAGCCAUGAAUUCAUCAUGAAAACAUGUAAUUUAAGCAUGGAAAAUAAGGAUAAAUGCUUAAGAAAAAUAGAUUUCAAGCUUAAGUUGAAAAAUCCUACCUUUUUCACUUGUUUUCCUUGAUUUUCCACACUUUUUCUCUUGAAAUUCUUCACCUAGGGUUUGUUCUUCCUUUCUUUCCCUCUCUUCCUUACUUGGCCAAAUAUUUGGAGAGAUAAUGGGCUGAUUUAUGCUGAUUUUAAAGUUAAAUAAUAAAAUAUCCUAAGCUUGACACAUGGCAUGUUUCCAUUGGUCCAUUUUUAAAACUUUAAAAAUUUUAAACCUUUUUUCUCCACCACAUGAUUAGUCAAAAGUCAAAAUGAGGCUAAGGGAAGACCAUGUGCUGGACAAAUGUCCUGGUGGAGGAAAAUUACAAUUUUGCCCUUGGGGUGCCAAAAUUACCAUUUUACCCCUAUACUCCGAAAAAUGACAAGAUUACAAUUUUUCACUUCUCAACCUCAAAUCAUACUCCGAUAAGUCAAAUGGGGCCAAAAAAAAUCUUUUAUUAAAUUCUCAUUUUGUCUCCAGUUGGCAAAUGACCAUUUUGCCCCUAGAUAGUGAAAAUUUCGGUUUGACUCCAAAUUGAUCAUCGAACUCCGAAUUACCAUUUUGAGUCAUCCUUGGACCAUGAAACUCUCAAUUUUACCUUAAAAUUCCUAUUUGAACUAGUUCGAGGCUUAAUUGACUUAAUGAUACCAUUAGGGGCAAUAUCGUCUUUUAACGAUUUCUCAAACUUCCUAAAUAUGCAACCAUUCUAUUGAGCAUGUAAAUGACGUCGUAAUUAUUUUAUAGAACAGGGUUUGACAUAUUCCUUCCUUAGGCCUAUUUAGACCUUAAUAGCAUCAAGAAAACUCACUCGUAGAAGCUCACCAAGAGAAAUUACGAAAUUAACCCUAGUCUGCAUUAUCUCGUCUACUUCUAGUUAUGUGUCUAUGGAGAUCGAGAUUUCACAGGUUCACUUCUGAAUUACCCUUUUUAACUCAGUAAUUAACCUCAAUUGGUAUCCGUAAACUUUAUUAGCCACCGUAUCAAAAUACGGGGUACUACAAGAACCAUGUGAUAUGACCAGGUUUGAUGAUUCUCUCAUUCAUGUUAUUGUAUCUAACUCUGACAAUGCCAACUUAUAUGUAGUGCCUACUAUGCAAGAGAUAAGAGAUGCAGUGUUUGACAUUGACAAAGAUAGUGUAGCUUGCCCGGAUGGUUUUUCUUCAUUUUUCUACUAACAGUGUCGGGAUAUUAUUGCUAAAUAUCUUUUUCAAGCAGUGGUGCAUUUUUUUCAAGGUGCGCCAUUUCUGAGGGGAGUCACAUCAACCACUCUUGUGUUAUUGACUAAAAAGAGUAAUGCCUCACAAUGGAGUAAAUUUUGACCAAUUAGUUUAUGUAACGUUUUAAAUAAAAUAGUUACUAAGUUGAUGGUUAAUCGUCUAACUAAGCGUUUACCUAUUAUUAUUUCUGAUAAUCAAAGUGGCUUUGUGAGUAGCAGGCUUAUUAGUGAGAAUAUCUUGUUGGCACGAGAAUUGAUUGGGAAAACUUAUAAAGAAAACAAGAGGUGGAAAUGUAGCUCUAAAGUUGGACAUGAUGAAAGCCUAUGAUUAGAUAAACUAGAUUUUCUUAUAUAGAAUGAUGCAACAAUUAGGCUUUAGCCACUAGUGGAUAAAUAUGAUUCAAUGUUGCAUUUUGAAUUGUUGGUUCUCUUUAUUAAUUAAUGGUAGGUCAGUGGGCUAUUUUAAGUUAGAACGAGGAUUACGUUAGGGUGAUUCCAUCUCUCCUCAACUAUUUGUUUUAGCAGCUGAAUAUUUGUCUUGAGGUUUAAAUGCUCUAUAUAACAGAUGCCCCUACAUUCACUAUUUGCCUAGCUGUCCAAUGAUUGUGAGCCACCUAGCAUUUGUAGAUGAUGUCCUUAUAUUUACUAUUUUAGGAAUUUUGAGAAUAUGGUGCCUUAGAAAAUAAGCAUAUUCUCAUGCUUAAUUUUAUUAAAUUUGUUUGUAAUGAAAGUACAUUUUGAUAAUAAAAUGAAAAGUUUAUUUCAAGUAAGCAUUCAUUAUCUAGUUAUGAAGGUACCAUGAUUCUAUUGAGAUAUUACAAUACAUUUGUAUGAAGAGUUAUGUCACGACCUGGUACUCUUUUCGAGCCCAUGACAACUGCCGCGAUGUCCCGAUAGACAUACCUUAUCGGGAAUGUCAACCAAAACCUGGCAAGGCUCUAGCAUCAGUUCUCCGCCUCCCUUGUGAGCAACAAUUACUACAUAUUAUAUUUUAAAAGAAUAUAGAUUAUUUUCAAAUCAAAAUAAAUCAAAAAGUAAUUUCUACCGCACAGGGGUAUUUUGGUCAUUUUAUCUAAAAUUUUUGAAACCUACUAAAAAUAUAAUAUAUAAAUGAAAAAUAUAAAUUUCAUAUCUAAAAAUAAAUUUAGGUAUCUAAAUUAUCUAUUUAAAGUGAAAUUAUACCUAAUCAAACUAAAUAAAAAUAUUGAAUAAAAUAUUUCAUUUUCAUAUAAAACAAUAUUUAUAAAAUUUUACGUAAACAGUUAAUGAAAAGUAAUAACCAAAUAAAUUUAUAUAUAUAAUAGCACAUUGCGCCAAAGUAUACAAAAAUAUUCUACAAUGACGUGUGAGCCCCAAAAUAACAAAAAUAAACACGACUGUAAACCUACGAUUUCUAAGGGAACGAAUCCAAAAGUAAACCCUCGACAAAAUUGGUGGUCUACAGACUGCCUUGAGUCUGAAAUGGGUGAAAAAAAGGUAGUGAGUUUUUAUAAACCCAGUGAAUAAGCAAAGAUCAUCUAUAACAUCUAAAGCCGAGUAAAUAGAGACAAUUAAAACAUCUCAUCAUAGUAUGAUUCAUAACAUUAAAACUUAUUUCAACCCAUAUAAAACAGUUACAUUUCAUAAAAAAAAAUCAACAAGGCUUAUGACUCUCUUAAAUACUUGGCUUGUGCCAAAACUUGUACUCGGUGACACCUUGCGCAGGGCAUCCAACUAAGUCCGCCAAGGCUAUUAAAAUAACAUAUACACAUAAAAUAUGUUUUUACGUUUAAAAACACAGCCGUUCUUUGGCGUUGGCUGAGUUUCACGCUCAUGUGGUGGUUCGGCGUGAAGUGAAAUCUAAACUACCUUAGGAGAUACCCUCCACGCCUCUCAUACUAAGGUAAAAUAUGACGGGGUUUACCGUGCCCUUAUAAUAGGCCGGUCCACGAAAACCCGCCCACUGUAGUAAGCUAAUCAAUUACCCCACCAAAUCAAUAAAAAUUUCGGCAGUAUGACAUGGCUAAUACGAUAUUACCCAGCUUAUCAAGGUAAAACAAAACAGUUUAUAUAUCCCACACAAACACAAAUCCAGCCAUUCCUGCCAUCACAUUAUCAUAAGCCAUCAAUUUAAACCAUAUGUCAAUUAGAAAUCCCAUUAUGCCGAUACAUUUAUUACAAAGUAGGGUCAGCAUAACUAACAAUAGUCAAAACAUUUAUAUAACACAAGUAUAUAGUCUCCGCUUACUCAAAUUCCAAAACCAGGAUUCAAUUUCAAACCAAAUUAUGAAUCUCAUUUCAUUUAACCAACACUUCAGUUAUAAAACAUAACAGUUUACAAUUUAAGUUCACUAUUCUUUAAAAUCAUAAAAACGAGUAUAAACUACUUUAGAUAGUUAAGAUGAUACUCUGUUUACUCACCAUAACGAGAGUACUCCUACUCCUGGUCCUCAGGUACGAUAUCCUUACCCUUACUAGAGGGCUCACCACCUAUACCUAAUACACAACAAGUAAUUCAAUACAUUUAUGCCAAACUGUUAUAAAACUAUUCUAGGCUCUAUAUGAAUGCAUGAAAUUGAAUGAGAAAUGUUCAAAUAAUCACUUAAAAAUGGUGUUCUAUGCAAGUUCAAUUGUUAUUGGACUGAAAUGGUAUUUGACCUAACUCGCACUAUACACUGUUUAAUUAGAUAAAACAUCUUAUUCAACUCCAAAUAGAUUCAUUGCACUUUCGGUACUUCAAAUACACCCAAAGUACCUCAAUGAACUUGAUUGUGACUUAAAUGAUCACAUCCGAAACUCAUUUCGAUUUUGAACUAACGUGCUAAUCAGUGUCAACACAGUCCAAUAAGUCCGUAUAUAUCAUUAGAAAUCAAAUUCAAGUCCAUUUACCAUGAUUUUCUCGAUGUCGUUCAAGCCGUUUACUAAAGGCACUAUACUUUUCGAUAACCAUUGUCGAUAUCUGACACCAUAAAUCAUCAAAUACGAGCUAAAUAAUAUGAAACAUAACAAAAUUCAUCAUCAAUAUUUCCCCUAUUAAAUUCGGCCAAUGAGGGUUUAGUGAAGGCCAUGUGGUUUUCUUGCUUGUUUUUCAUACCGAAUAUCACAAAACAACUAAAAACACCUAGAUAGCAUGAAAUCUAAUAAAAACCAUCAUCAAAACCUCCCCCCCUUGAUUCGGCCAACAUGACUUCCUUCAUGAAAGUUUGGGUUUCAACCAUAAAAAUGAAAAAGAAAGCAUGGGAGAGGUGAAUCUUAAGCUAAAAUCGUGAAAUCUUACCUCAGAUCGCUUCGUUUUUUGGUAACCGAUGAAUUUCUCUUGAAUUUUCUUCCUCAAGAGUUGUUUCUAUUCUGUCCCCCCCCCCCCCUUUUAUUUGGCUUGCACGGCAAUGAAAGAAGAAUUGAGAGAGGUUUAUGUUGGUUUAUAAAGAAAAUUAUAAAAGAAUUCAAGCUUGACACGUGUCAACGUGUGAAUGGUUCAUGGUUAAAACUUAACUAUUAAGCUUUUGCUUACCACCACAUAUAAUACCUUAAUUAUUCAAAGUAUAAAAAUGAUAAUAGGUGAAAUUCAUGGGCUUGACAAGUGUCACGGUGGUGUAAAAUUUUAAAAAUUCCAAUUACAUCCUUAUGGGCACUUGGAAUGACCGGUUUGCCCUUAUGCUCAGAAAAAUGUCGAAAUUGAAAUUUUUUUCACUUCUCAUAUUCAAAUUAUGCUCCAAAUAGUCAAACGUGGUCAAAAAUCUCGUCCAACAUUCCAAUUUUUGCCUUCGAGUGGCAAAAUGACCAUUUUGCCCCUACAUUAUAAAAAUUUUCGAUUAUAUUCUAAAUUAAUCAUCGAACUCCGAAUCACCAUUUUAAGACAAUCUAAGGUUCAAUAACUCUCAAAUACAUCCUAAAAUCUCUAUUUGGACUAGUUUGAGGUUUUAAUCAACUUAAUUGUACCACUAGGUACGAUACCGACUUUUAAUGAUUUUUCGAGACAUCCAAGUAUGCAGACAUGCUAUUAAGUACAUGAAUGACAUGGCAAGUAUAUAAUAGAGCUGGGCUUGACAAGUCAUACAUAGGAGACAUGUAAUUUAAUUGAAUCUAAAAAUUAUUCAUAGCCAUCUAAUAAAGUUGGUCACUUUAUUGUGUUAAGGUUGUAGUGUCCAAAUUACUUCCAAUGAAGUGAAUGUGAUUCAUUUCAAGGGAAUGAUGAGUCUCAAAUCAUUGAAAUGCUUAACUUCGAGUAAUGACACUAUAACAUGAACUAGAAUCAUGAGAGAAUCAAAUUUAAGUUUAACCGCUACUUAAUUCUUGAUCUUACACUUAUGCAUUUGCUUAUAGUAGAAUUGAAAUCUUGAUGGAUAGUGGACUCAUGUUUAAUCUCCUUAUAAUCUUUGAUUUACCAUGAGCAUGAUCAUCAUAAAGCGUUGAUCUAAUCUCCAUAUUUUGAUAUUAUAAUCGAGAUGAACAUCUGGGAACAUAUAUCCAAAUAAUAAAGUUCAUACCAUUAACAUCACUUUUAGUGAUUUCAUAAAGAUUGGUGAUUAAUCUAAGCCUAGUGGAUUGAUGAAUUAGCUACUCAUCACAUCUAGAUACUCAAAAACUUAGAUCUAAAGUAUUGAAUCACUAAUUAGAUGAAAUUUGAGGUUAAAGGACAAAAUUGACAUAAAGGGUAAAACGAUAAUUUCAGCUUUUGUCAUUGGAUGGUUAUGACGGUUCACAAUAUAAGGUUUGCAAUUGGACAACUAAUAAUUAAUAUCAAGUAUUGAAUUGUUUCUUGUAAUUAUAGUUAAUCUAAGAGUGCAACCAUGAAUCUAUGUGGAGUGAUUUCAUGGUUAAUAAGCUUAAAUUAUUUUUUAAUGAGAUUAAGAAUAAUUCUAAGUUUAUUGGAGCUUGAAAUAUGUCAAACCCUAUUCUAUAAAAUAAUUACAACGUCAUUUACAUGCUCAAUAAAAUGUUUGCAUGUUUAGGAAGUUCGAGGAAUCGUUAAAAGAUGAUAUUGCCCUUAAUGGUACCAUUAAGUCGAUUAAGCCUCGAACUAAUUCAAAUAGGAAUUUUGAGGUAAAAUUAAGAGUUUCACAGUUCAGGGAUGACUCAAAAUGGUAAUUCGGAGUUCGAGGAUCAAUUUGGAGUCAAACUGAAAUUUUCAUUAUCUAGGGGCAAAAUGGUCAUUUGCCACCUAGGGACAAAAUGAGAAUUUUGAGAAAAAAAUUUUUUAUCCCCAUUUAACUUAUUGGAGUAUGAUUUGAGUAUUGGAGUAUAAUUUGAGGGUUUGGCAGUGAAAAAGUUUAAUUUCGGUGAUUUUUGGAGUGUAGGGGCAAAAUCGUAAUUUUUCCACCCACGAACAAAAUUUGAGAUUUUGAGAGAAUUUAGAUCAAAUUUGACAAAUUGGAGAAUAGUAUGAGUAGAAGGGAUGAAAAAUAUGUCUAUGGGCAAUUUUUCAGUUUUUGGGAAAAAAUGUAAUUUGACUUUUACGGGGGCAAAAGUGUAAAUUUCAAAAAUUACUCCACCAAGACUUUGGAUAAGUCUGAGAAUUUUUUCUAAGCUAUGGACAUGUGGGACAAGUGUAUGGUGAAAAUUUGGAAAUAAAUGGAUGGCUAGAAUUUAAGGAAUUAAUAAAACAAAAAAAAUGAAUAAAAUAAUAUUAUAUUAUUUUAGCCUUUAAAAAUGUCAAAAUUCCAGAAUUCUCAUCUUCUUCAGCUGUCCAAACCAGGAGAGAAAAAGGGGGAAAAGAAAUAAGAACCCUAGCUGAAAAAAUUUGGGGAAAAUCAAGAGAAAUCAAGAAAUCAAGCAUUAAAAAGGUAAAUUUCAUUGAUUUUCCUUGUGAUUUUCACUACCCAUGCAUUUUUUUCUCAUUUCCAUGCAAAAUUAGAAAGUGGGUAUGGACACCCAUGCUGGCCAAACCUCCAUGGAUGAGUUUUGAGCUUGAGUUUUGGUUGAUUUUAAUUGAAUUAAGUGAUUUUAGUUAAGUUAUAUUGAAAUAUAGCAAAAAUAAGCUAGAGAUAUAAUUUUCUCCCAUUGAAACCCAUUAUGCUGAAUUUUUCUAGGGGGAAUAUUGGCUGCUGAUCUUGAUGUUUAUUUGAGGAAUUAUGAUGAAUAAUGAUGAAUUAUGAGUCUAAAAAAAAUAAUGGAAAUUUUCUGAGCCAAAAUACAAAUUUUUACCCACUAGGGGUAUUUUCGUAAUUUACUAUCGGGACUGAUAAUUUGCACCACACUGAGGAACAUUAAGUCAAUUUGGGUGCAAUUGAGGUAUAGAAAUUGAAAAAAAUUAAUUUGGAGUUUAAACGGACGCGUAUAUCGAUUUAUCGGGUAAAAGAUCGAAAUAGGCUAACAUCUCAUUUAGGCAAAAUUUAGACAUUUUGCACUUCAUAUCAUGCAUUAGUAGUAUAAAUUAGUUUAUUUUGGUUUAGUACCAAAGUAGUAAACCUCUUAAUUGUACAAUUUGUCAAGGUGGUGAAUCCUCUAGCAAGGGCAAAGAAAUCGCACUCGAUGAGUAAUAGUUGGAGUACCCGAAUUUAGUUUUCAGAAACUAUGAGUAAACUUAUUAUCGUCUUAAUUAUCUAGAGUAGUUUUAUACAAUUGUGUGAUUUUAUGGAAAAUGGGUUUAAAUGGUAAAUUGAUAUGUUUUAAGAGAAAUUAUGAUUUUAUAAAUUUUCUGAAAAAUCGAAUACUGAUUUUGAAAAUAGAGUAAUUGGAGACUGCCUGUUUGUAUUGUAAAUUUAUGGUUUUAAAUUGAAUGGCUUAUGACAACAAAUGAGCAUGAAUGGCUAAACUGAUUUUGGUGUUAGAAUUAUUUUUACUGUGUAUUUAGCCUUGAGAGGCUAGGUUACGAUAAAUUGCCAUGUCAUGCAGAAAAAGAUUUUAUAAAUCAGGUGGUAGACAAAAGAUUAGCUACGCAGUAGUGGGGGGUUCCGUGGGCCAGCCUAUUAGAGGGGCACGGUAAACUCUUUUAUAAUCUCACCUCGGUCUUAGAGGCUCGUAGGGUAUCUCCUGAGGUGGGCUUUUUGAGUGCACUUCACUUGGACCACCGCGUGAGAGUGAGACUCAACCAACGCCAAGGAACGACUAUGUUUCAAAAUAAAAAUAUGAUUUAUGCGAAAUAUGAAUUUUUAACAGCCUUGGCGGACUCGGUUAGAUACCCCUGGUCCAGGUGUCACCGAGCACAGGAUUUGGCAUGAGCCAAGUUUUGAGUAAUUCACGAGCCAUAUUGAUUAUUUGGUUGAAAUGAAUAUUCUUGAUGUAAAAAAUUUGCUGAAGUUAAUUAUUUUUUAAUUCUCUCCAUUUACUCGCCUUUAGAUAGUUUAGAUGGUGUUUGUUUACUCACUGGGAUUUAUAAUCUCACCACCCUCAAUUCCCCACAUUUCAGGUUCGGGAUAGCCGGUAGAUAGCAGAUUGCAUCAAGGACUUCAGUUAGCCUUGCAUUGUCAAAAUUAUAGGUUCACAAACUCGCUUCUUAUUGGUUAGUUAGGGGCCCAUGUGUCAUUGUAAAAGUAAUUUAUACUUUAAUUAUCUGAUUUAAAAUAUGUAUGAACAUAUUAAGCUUUUACACCAUGUUUUUGGUGAGUUUCGAUAUUAUCAAAGAAAAAUGACAAAAAUGCCCCUGUGAGCCAAAAAAUAAUAUUUUAUUAUUUUGAUUUGGAAACGACUUAUGAUUUCUUGAAAUGUAAGAUUUAAUAACUGUCGCUCGCUGGGGAGAUGCGGAAGUUGAUGCUAAGUCUUGCGGGGUUUCGAUCAGCAUUCGGGGUAAUGAGUGCCUAUCGGGACGUCGCGACGGUUGUCACGGGCCCGAUGGGAGUUCCGGGUCGUGACAAAAUAUCUAUGUCCAAAUAGAUUUCCCACUAAGCUUCAUAGAAUUCAACUUGUUUAAGUUGGAAUGCAUGUUUUAUUUGAUUAAUUAAAUUGUGUACCAAAAUGACAGCUUUAACAUGUUUGUAUUAAUUUAGACAAGAAAACAUGUUUGGUCUUAAUUUAGACAAGAAAAUAUUCAAUUUAGGCAAGAUAAAAUAUUUUUGUCUUAAUUAAAGGCAAGAGUUGUCUUAAAUUAAGAUAAUGCUAGGAGGAUUCUUGCAAAAUGAAUCUAGAAUCCAUGUUAAUAAAAAGAGACUCCAUAUUUGACUAUAACUCUUUUAUUUAUUAUUAAUUCUUUUUAAAUAAAGAUGGAUAAUAAUAAAAUAAGAGUUAUUAUUCAAUGAAGAAUUUAUUUUGUUAAUAACUCUAAAUGAUAAUUAAAGAAUUAAAUUAUUUAUUCUUUAAUUUUAAUUUUGAUAAUUAUGGAGCAUAUUUGAUGCUUCCAUAACUCUAAAUGGAUAGUUAAGAUCGAUUCAAAAGUGUUUGAAUUUGAUUAAACCUUCAAGGCAAGAGUUUUAAUAAAAGAGAAGAUAUUGAAAAAAAAAGAAAGUAACGUACUUUUUCUUGAAAAAGUUUCAGUUGUCACUUCUCUCUUCCUCUUCCAAACUUUGUCGUAUCUUUCUUCCUUUCUCCAAUACUUGGCUGAAUUUUAUAAAAGAAAACAGCCAUUAAUUUAUAGGAAGAAAAGAGAGACAAAAUCAAUUACCAUCUUGUAGUCUAGCAUUCCACACCUUGUCCACUCAAGGUUCAAGUCGAAAGCAUUUUUUAAGAAUAAGUGAUAAACUUGUUUAAUCGAGAAAUCAUUCAUUCGUGUGGUGGUGUCCGCAAAUAAGAAUCUCAAAAUAAAAGGUAUGUUUUUUUUCACUUAAUAGAUUCUUAUUUUUUAAGGAUGUGAUUACGUUACUUGCAAUAAGAAUGAUGUGUGUUUCCGUUUGUGUAAUUGGAUUGCUCGCUUCCUUUAUAAAAGAAAUUUUUUGAAAUCUAUGCUUUACACAAUCACAUCAAUCCACUAAGAUUUUACUCCAACAUAUUAAAGGUAGUAAAUCGGCCUUGCAGAAAAUUCUUUUAUUUUUGCACAAGUAUGAACAAGUCUCUGGGCAACAUGUUAACCAUCAAAAGAGUUGUUCAUAACACAUCAGAUUAUAGUAAACACUAGAAGGCAAAUCAUCUCUCAAGCUUUAAGAUUCACUCAUAAAUGCUUUCCUAUCACAUACUUGGGAGUUCCUCUCUACAAAGGUCCCAAAAAGGUACUAUUAUUUCAUCACCUUGUAACUAAGAUACGGAAUCAAAUCACAAGAUGGGAGAAUAAGAUUCUUUCCCCAGGUGGCCAGAUAACUCUAUUGAGGAGUGUAUUAUCUUCUUUGCCUACUAUUUCCUUCAAGUUCUUAAGCUUCUUGUCUGUGUCAUUGAAAAAAUUGAAAGAUUAUUUAAUAACUUUUUUUGGGGAGAUUCAACAAAUGGUAAACAUACUCACUGGGCUUCAUGGCAUAAAAUAACUUUCCCAUCUUCUGAAUGUGGUUUAGAUAUUAGAGGCCUAGUAAAUGUGUUUGAGGCCUUUAGUAUUAAUUUGUGGUGGCACUUUCAGACUUGUAGCAGCUUGUGGACACAAUUUAUGAAAACAAAUAUUGUCUUGGUCGAAUUCCCAGUUAUGUUCAGCCGAAAAUUCAUAAUUCACAACCUUGGAAAUGAAUGCUUGCUAGGUGCCUGGUUACGAAAGAACAUAUCAAGUGGUGGAUUAGCAAAGGAAAAUUAUUUUUUUGGCAUGAUUGUUGGAUAGGCAAUAAACCACUGGUAAACCAUUUCCUUACUUUUAUUUCAUCAAUAACAUAAGUUUGCUAUUAUUUUGAUAAUGGUGAUUGGGAUGUGGAUAAAUUGAAAAAUGUGUUGCCAGAUAAGGUUAUUAUUGAUGUUCUAAAAAUUCCUAUUGACACAUCUUUUGAAGAUAUUGCCUAUUGGGUACCCACUUCCAAUGGUAAUUACACCACUAAGAGCUCAUGGGAACUAAUUAGGCAACGACAAACAACAAAUCCUUUGUUUAAUUUUAUUUGGUACAAAAGUAUUCCUUUCACAACUUCAUUCUUUUUGUGGUGGUUGUUACAUAAUUGGAUUCUUGAGGAGAUGAGAAUGAAAACAAAAUGUUUCCAGCUAGCUUUUAAAUGUAAUUGCUACAACUUAAAGGAAUCUCUUCUACAUGUCUUGUGAGAUGGUCCGAUGGCUAAACAAGUGUGCAAUUAUUUUGCAAUAUUCUUUCAAAUCUAUAUUUUCAAUUUACUUACUAUUAUUUAGAUUAUUUGGGCAUGGGUAUAUUAUGGUGAUUAUACUAAGCAGGGACAUAUUCACACCUUAUUACCUUUAUUCAUUUUUUGGUUCCUAUGAGUGAAACAUAAUGAUACAAAAUAUAGGAAUCUUGGUAUGUAUCCCAAUAGAGUAGUGUGGCGUAUUUUGAAGCUUAAAUACUAGUUGCUUUGCAGUAGGCAAUUGGAAAAGUGGCAAUGGAGAAGUGAUACUCAAAUAGCUCAAGCGUGGGGAUUGGAAUUCUAAAGAGAAACGUCCUUAUCACCCAAAAUAAUAUCUUGGUAUAAACCAUUAACAGAUGAGUUUAAAUUAAAUGUUGAUGGUAGUUCCAAAAAUAAUUUUCAGAAUGCUGCAGGAGAUGGAAUAUUGCGAGAACACAUAGGUACGCUAAUAUUUGGUUUCUCAAAAAAUUUUGGACCCAACAAUUCUGUGCAUGCAGAACUAUUAGCCUUAUAUAAAGGUCUUCUUUUAUGCUAAGAGUAUAAUAUUUCAAAGAUCUGGAUUGAGAUAGAUAUUAUGGUGUUACUUCAAUGCUAAAGGAGGAAUAUGAUGGGUCACAUGACAGUCGAUAUUUAUUGGCUUCUAUCAAAAAAUGCUUAACUCAAUUCUCUUAUAGAAUCUCUCACAUACAUCGAGAAGGCAAUCAAGCUGCAAACUAUUUAGCUAAUUUUGGAUAUCAACAUCAAAAUCUGCGAGUUUUCUUUGAAGCUCAAGGUAAGUUGCGUGGAAUUGUAAGAUUAGAUAAACUUACCCUAACUUAUGUUAGAUCUAAAUAAAUGUAAAGGAGUAGUACUCCUUAUUUUAUUUUUAUAUGACUUUAUCUUAGAUUCUUGUACACAUGUAAAUUACUUAUUUUAUGCAUUCCUUAUAACUGCAAAGAAAGUAAUAACCGUAAUAGGAAUUCUUUCUUUUCUUUCUCAUGUAACUCUAGAGAUACUGUUUAGGUCCCCCUCCCUAAUGUACCGUUUUAUUUUUAUUUUAAUUAUUAAUAAAAUAUUAACAAGGUAGCUAAGCUCUGUGAAAAUUUCUAGCAUAAAAAAAAUACCUCGAAAAGUGGGAUUGAAAAAUAUUUUUGGAGCCAAAACAACUCUUGGAGUGUCAAUUUGAUCUUUUACUAACUCAAUUUAAGGGUUUUAUCCUUUUCACUGUAGCUUAAUGAAUACAAUUUUUACACUUUUAUUAAAAUUUAAUUUUAGGAUAACUGAUAAUAAUAUUAAAAUUUUUUAUACCAAAAUUCCAUCUGAUGACAUUUUUGUUGAUGACGAGACAUGUCAAUUUUUGAAUUUUUUAUCACAUGGCACACAUUAAUAUCAAAAAAUUUAUUUUAAUAAGAAAUAUUAAGAAUUAAUUUUUAAAAUCUUAAAAAAUAUUAAUUAUUUAUUUGAAAUAAAAUAAGAUUUUUUAAAGAAAAAAAAACCAUCUUAACAUAACAAUUCAUCCAAGUUAAAUACAAAAAUUUGAUUUCAUUAUUAAUUGUCUUAGAUCAACUUUUAGUAAAGUGCAAAAAAAUUAUUUUUGGGUACAAAGAUUAAAACCAUCUAUUUCAAACAACAAAUAGGGAUGUCAACGAGUAAGGUACCUGUUAAUUUGGAGGUAUCCGAACCUUAACCCUAUUAACUACCCGAAUAAUUUAAAAAUUACUACCCUAACCCUAACCCUAAUAUAUUCUCACUACCCUAUAAUUACCCUAACCCAUUUAAAUAACCGAUUAAAUAAGAAAAACAAUGUGAGUUCUCACCUUUGUGUGCAAGAGAAACGCCGGGGAAUGGACUGCCAAGUAGUUGGAGGGAGAACUUGAAGGUUCUGAUGCUUUUGCUUACGAGCUCCAGAGGAAACUCGUUCAGUGUGCCGUAGUCGUCGACUCCUCUGGCGGCGUUACCUCCUCUUUCUCUCUCAUCACUCCUAACUCUACUGUUUUCCAAGUGAUUAUUGGAGGUGGAGGAGGCGGAGGUUUCUUAGGAGGAGGAGCUGCAGCUCCUGCUAGAGGCACUGCCCCAACGGUAGAAGCACCAGCAGCGAAGGAGAAAAAGAAGGAAGAGAAAGUGAAGGAGAGUGACGAUGAAGAUAUGGGAUUCUCACUUUUCGAUUAAGUGCCUUUCUGUCUAUAACUUAGCAAGUUAUUGUUUACAUUUACAUGUUUCUUUUCUUGGUUUAUGCUACCCCAACUGGCAUUAGGUUUUUUGAGUUAGGAAUUUGAUAAUUUUUUAAGUAUGUGGUUUAUCUUGAGCUUCUAUUUUCAAAUUCUUGUUUUGUUUCAUAUUUCCUUUUCCUCUUAUGUCAUGAUUUUAUGGUCGAUUUGCUAUUGCUUUGGUAUGGAAGAGAAUUGAAAGAACAAAUUAAGUUUAGAAAUAAAGCUACUUUUGCUAAAAAAUAAAUAAAUAAAAUAUUUAUAAAUAGUAGUCGGGUUCGGGUAACGGGUACUCAAGGAAUGAUACUCGAACUCUACUCGAACCCGUUUAUUGAAUACUCUAAUCCGAUAUAACCAGGUAAGAUACCCACAGGUACCCUAUAAAAGGGUACCAGUUGACAUCCCUAACAACAAAUAACGAAAGGACUAAAUUGAACUCCUACACCACAAAAACCUAACACAUUUGAACUCAGACAAAUGCACUGUUCCCGAACCGACCAUUCUCGUGGAAUCAUCCUACUCGUCUUUAUAUCUUCAAUACAAAAACUAUAGUGGCAGUGCUCGUAGAGAAUAAUACACCUUAUCCUAUCCGUUCCUCCAAACUGCAUUGAGCGAAAAUUAGACGUAGCUUUCGAAUUUUCAUCCUCAAAGUCUCCAUUACAAUGGCUGCUAUGCUCUCGCUCUCUCCAAACCCUCCAAUCACAAAUUCACUCUCUCUUCACUCCGCUUUCAAGGUACUCUUCCUUUGACUCUCUUUAAUAAAUUAUGUACAGUAUACUCACAAUUACUGAAUUGAAACUUUCUUUUUAAUAGCAGGGAAAUGUGAGGAAUUUAGGACUAAACCCUUGUCACAUUAUCCCUGUCAGAACCAAGCAACAACAGAUACAGAAACAAGGGACAAGGUCUUUAGUUGUUGUGAACCGAGCAGCAAAAAUCCAAGUGGCCCUUACAGCGCCCACAGUUAGAUUUCGGUUGGACAACCUGGGACCUCAGCCAGGGUCCAGAAAGAAAGGGAAGAGAAAGGGGAGAGGAAUAUCGGCUGGACAAGGUGGCAGCUGUGGGUUUGGAAUGAGGGGUCAGAAAUCACGUUCUGGUCCAGGUGUUAGAAAGGGGUUUGAGGGUGGGCAAAUGCCGCUCUAUAGGCGUAUCCCCAAAUUGAGAGGGAUUGCAGGAGGUAAUUUGCUUGCAUCCGUUCUUAAUUUUGUAUUUAUUUAUUUAUUUAUUAAUUCUUAUACACUUCAAAUGCUUUAUGGGAUUGUGAUACUGGGUUAGAAGUUUUUAUUUAACGGGAACAUGUUUUAUUUUAAGUGGAUUUUGAUUGUUUAAAGUGAUAGCAUUAACUUGUUUCUUUGAACUUUGAACUCUGCAGUUUUUGAGAAAUACUUUACAAAAUUGCUCUCUUAAGUAAGAACUUAAGCAAGCUUGUAGUUUUCUAGUUUCAGUUGUAGAAAUAGUUGAAUAUUCAAUCAAAUGGCUGCCCAAGUCAUGUACAAGUAACCUGUAUGGAAUGUUUUGUGUUUGAGCAUUAUCUUGAUUUGCUGGUAGCAAUUUAAAGUUUGUGCUUUGUCAAUAGUUUAUGAACUGUUUGGUCCGAUUAGAACUACUGUAGGAAGUGUUGUUCAAGUAGAAUUGUUUCAAAAAUGUUAUUAAGACAAGCUAUGAUAGUGUUUGAGAAACUUAAUGCAGAAGUACCAUAGGAUGUAGAAAACUGUUAUUUGAUAGUAUUUUUGCUUUUUUUAAUAAAUACAAGUUUGAAAGACCAAACAAAAUUAAACCUUAUGAAUUUGUUUAAUGAAGUUGAGCCUUUCAUUUUUUUUUUGACAUAAUUGAGCUUAUCAAAAGAAAAAAAAUUUGAAAGAGUCAACUUCAUUAAACAAAAUUAUAAGUUUUGAAGUAAAAGCUCUUUUAUAAGUUGGGCCAAGCACCCACUGUGUAGAUGAGCUUUCAAUGCCUUCUUCAGCAAUAUUUUAGGCUAUGGCUCUCUAAUUAAAUCUUGAAGAAGCUUCAAGCAACAACUUCUAUUGCUUUUAAUUAUGGUUCUUCACUAACAUUGACUUACUACCCAAUUGACUUCAUCAUAGAAGUUUCCUACCUUCUACCUUAUUAGAUGCCCCUUGGAGAUUAUAGAGAGACAAUAAUGAGGAUGGGAGACAUACGAUAGGUCAAUUGAAUGUAGAGAUUAGAGUAUCAGGGGGUAUUUAAUCAGUCUUUUUCAGGAGAUUUUGAUAGUAUAUCACUUAAUCCUUUAUACUAUGUCAACCCCUAGUAUUGUGUCAAAUGUGGAUUUUUGCGAUGAUGCUGGUGUUGAGAUGUUUGAGUAAAGUGAACUAAUUUUCUUCAUCUAGUUAAUGGUAAGGGUAAUAUGCCUGUGGCAAGGAGAACAUUUGUAUAUAUAAGUGUGUGUGUGUGUGUGUGUGUAAUGUGACUAACUUAUACUAUUCUUAGAUGAAACUUAUAAGAUAGCGUUUCGAUUGGUCAAUUAAUGGACAUUCCAUUGAGAUAUAUGCUUUUAGGUCUUUAUCUUCACUGACUUCUCUCUAUGUGGUUGCAUUGGUGAUAAGAGGAAUUUCUAGAUAGUAUAUACAAUUUGAAAUUAAAAAGUUAGAACUUCUAGCAUGGAUUUGACAAUUUUAUUCUCAAUGAGGAAAAUAGAACUAUCUACAAUGCUCUAGGCAAAACAUAAAGAUGAAUCUAUAAUUAAUUUUUUAUAUAUUUUUAUUUAAAAUUGGUAGUUUUAUUCCUCUCUAUGAAUCUUUAACAAGAAGUAGCAUGCACUAUCACUCAAUUUGGUUAAUUCAGCCAAAUUUUACUAAGACAAAAAUAAUUAAAUUUGAGAAUUGUAAUAAACCUAACUAGCUGAGUUGUUUAUGUAACUGGGAACCAAAUUACCAAUAUUCUUGGUUAGUUUGGUUAGGUGUCCUUGGUCAUUGAAAUAUUGGUGAUAUAGAAUCAAGGUUAUAUCAAGUUUUAUCCUAUCUUCUCCAAAAUAGAGGAUUUUGGGCCAUUCGAUUAAACAAAAUGGCGCCACCUAAAGGGCUCGACAUGAGAACAUAUGACACUAACAUGUUAAUAGCAGGUUAAAUCAAGUCUCAAUGUUCAUAAAGAAUUGUAGAAUUCUAAGCAACCUUUAAUCACUGCCUAACCAAUAUGCUUUCAGCUCUCACCACAAGAUUUAAAGCCUAAAGCGGAAAGCUUCCAACAAUCUUGAGUUUUGUGUUGCCUCUUUCUUGAGGCUUUAUUCAGUCUCCUCUUCUACUAAAUUUGGUUUUUCUUUUUCUAUAAGUGCCUGUUUGGUCUGCCUUGUUUUCAUCUUAUUUACCUCUUAAAAACACAAGUCAGGCCAAACAGGAUUUUUAAGAAGCACUUAAGCAGCUUUUUUAAAAAAAAAUAAAACAAAAUUUAAAAAAAAAGAGUUUAACAAAAAGCUCCAAAUAGGAGCUAUUUCUUCUCUUCUUUUAAAAAAUCGCCAGUUUUCAGGAAAUACCCUACUCUCUCAAUCAACCUCCCUCUCUUCCUCGUUCUGUAAAUCGCCAUAUCCCUCUCAUUUACCUCUCUCUACAAAGACUAUCUGGAAAAAAAGAAAAAAAAAAACACCCAACAAGCAAAAUUUAAGAUUUUUUUUUGUUCUUGCAAAGAUUAAGAGAAAACAAGAUUCAAAAUUCAAAUCUUCAUUCAUAUACUAUUUAAAGGUUUUCUCUCUUCUUUACCAAAAGAUUUUAAUGUCAAGUACAUCGUUUUUACUUUUCUAUUUUUUAUUCAAGAAUUGAAGCAUCAUGGUCCGAUUGCUUGCUAAAUCAAUAAAAAUCUAAUACUAUUACUAUUAUAUAAGUUUGAGAGUUGUUUCGUUUUUUUAUAAAUUUGUUUGAUUUUAACAUCGGAAAUCAUAUAUAAAUUCGAAACAGAUUUGUUCCCCUUUAAUUUAUUAAGUGAUUGAAGAUGAUAUGAAUGCCCUUUAGAGUAAUUUUAACCAAAAUUAGAACUCAUACAAUUUAUUUUGCCAAAUAGCUUAUCAAACAGGUUUAGCUUAAUUUUAAAAGCUAUUAUUUUUUAUAAGAGCUUCAUAAUGGCUUUUAAGUUAAAAAAAAACUAGGGCAAACAGGCUCUAAGUGUUGUUUACUGUUGUUAUCUUGAAAGUUUUAACACUUGAGUGCUCUUUUCCGUAAAGUAGGAGUUUGAAUUAGCUAAAAAGAGAAAAAUGGGUACUAUGACUUGCUCCGGUUCUCUCUUCAAAGUCAGGAGCUUUUAUCUUUGAUGGAUCUUUUCUUCUCCAAAAGAAGAUCACUCCAUUAUUUCUGUAAUUCGUCGUUUCUUUUAUUUAUUUAUUACAGAUUUUUAAAUAUUUUUUAUUUUGGAUUUAUAUGGAUGUUAGAAGCAAAAUUCUUUAAGUUAACGGUUGCUGAGGCAUCACAGUAAUAAAUAAAUAAGAAAAUGUAUAUUUAAUAUAAAAAUGUAGUUCGGUUUUUUCAAUCAGUGCAGUUAUGAUUUUCUAAAAGAUUGACGAAUGAAGGAACCCAGUAUUUUAAAAAGAUAUUCCAAAUAUAACUAAAAUGCUGAAAUGCUGAACCAUUUUUACUGAAUUUAUCAACUCUUGAAGUAUUUCACUUUUAACCACAGUUUGCUCACCCUUAGCAAGAAACCAUCCCAUGGUACCAGAAUUAUUUUUUGUUAUGAAGGAAUAAAUCAGAGGAAGAUUUGAUAAAGGUCGAAAUUCAGUUGCUGGAAAUGCUCUUGAAGGACUUUGAAGGAUUUUUCUUUCCUAUGUUCUUGGCUUUGCCCUUUUUGCUUUUUUAUGAACUUAUUUUGGAGCUUUCUUUUCAUAUCCAUUAUUAUGGAGGUCUUGCUUAUCUGAUGAUGAGUCUUAAGGUAACAAAAAUAUUUAUUUGUAUUUGUGUUGCAAAAGCCUCACCAUCUUUUUAUUUAUUUUGGGAUCAAAUUGAAUAAAAUUUAUCAACAAGGACUGGUAAUGAUGUGUCAUUAUUGCCUCAAUUUCUCUUCUCAAGAAUUUGUAGAACAUAAGAGAACUUCAUAUACUAAAUGGAACUAAAUAGUUGUGAUAAAUACUAAAGCCUUAUUAUGGUUAACAGUUUUACUGUCAAAUAUUGCUUUACUUUGAUUAUUCCUACCUAAGCUUGCACAGAAGAACCUAUUCUGACUGGAAUUAUUUGAAGUGUAUUAGCCAGAGUAUAUUGAUCAAACAAGAGGAGGAUGAAAUUUGUUUUAAAAUAAAUUAAUCAAACUUUAAUUUUAUUAAGUUUUUACGUAAAAGCAAGAAUAUUUACAAAAUAUUAUUUUAAAGCAAAAAAAAACAAGUGAUAAAAAUUAAAAGAGUUAAGAGAGAAAGAUAAAGUUUUUGUCAUUUCAAAACUAUGAUCAAUUCUAGGCUAAGUGGAGCUGAAUGAGGGAGUUUAAAAGUUACCAUUAGUGAUGAUAUGAUGUGGUGAUAGGUAGAUGGUAGAGUUUGAAGUGGUUGGGAAUGAGAUGAUAUUUUCAGAAUACCCUAUGAUCCAAGAUUUAAGUGGUCAAAUCAGUUGAUAAACCUUUGUUCCAUCUAUAGCUGAAGACCUACUGCAAUUAUGAAAAUAGUGAAGAUUACUGGAACUUCCUUUCUUUGUUCAUAAAGACUAUUAUGACUUGAAAUGAAUAUUAAAGUUAAAUCCUUUUCUAUCAGCUUAAGUGUUUGGAUAGUUGGUCCUCAUCUACCUGUUUCAUAUUGGAUGAAACCAAACCUUCUCAUUAAUUCUUUAUGUGGUGUCUUGUACAUUGAGCCUUACAUGAAAUACUCUUUUAUUCUUCUUCUGCUUGCACCUUUUUCUACACUUGAUUUUAUGUGCAAAGCCCUUUACAUUCAUUUAGCUUGCACGUGAAUAGGUAUUACACUUAAAUAUUAAAGUUGGUUUCUCUUUUCUAUGACUUAAACUUAUGGGCUAACAACUAUCUCUUUAACAAAGACUUGAAUGUGUAAAAUUUCCUUCUAUUUGGGUGCCUUACCAGGAUAAGCCUUUUCCAUUGUAUUGGUGCUGGCUUCUUGAAUCUUUUUCACUAAGCUUAUAUGAUUAAGAUUUUACUUUAUGAUAUUAUCUUUGUCCCUUGCUUGGAAAGACUUGUUUCCUUUUUUAGGUUUGAAUUUGGUGCCUCUGUUCAUCUUUAUGUAUAUUUGCGAUCAAAGUACCUAACAACUCCCACUACUGUAGAGAGAUGUGUAAGUUAGUCCCCAUACUAUAAUUUUGAGUAAUUUAAGCCCUAUACUUUUCACAUUUGUUGACAAUUGAGGACAAUUGCCAACGCCAUUAAAGAAGACCGUUAUCUAUGCUGACACAGCAAUGAGGUGGUACUAACAUGGCACUGAUGUGUAAAACUUUUCACUUGCAAAUCAAUGUUGUUGAUUUUUUUCCUAAUGUGGAAAUAUUUAAAAAAUUAACAAAAAUUAAAAAAAUUCAAUGAUGUGGCAAUGAAGUGGCACCAUUAAAAUGCCAUGUGUCCUCCCCCCAUAGGACCACUGAAAGUUUUUUUUGAAAAAAAAAACAUUUUGGCCAAGAAACUUGGAAAAAGUUUAAAGGUUUUUACAAUUUUAGUUUUUAUAAUCAAGUUAUUCUUUAUCAAAAUAAUCUAUUUUCUAUUUUACCUUUUCUUCACUCUUUUCCCUUUUUCAGUCUGGUUCUUCUUCCUCCUUCUCUCUCCCCCUUUUCUUCUCUAUUUCUCUGGAAAUUCGAAAACCACCUAUCUUUCUUUAGUACUGCCACAACCACCAGCACCAUCUCCUAUCAACCACCACAAAGAAGACACUUGAAUCACAGAAUGCAAUUUUCUUCAAAACAAGAGUGUCUAAAAAGACCUACACCCAAUCUUUUCUUUCUUUUACUUUCCCAUUAACCAAACAAAACAUCAAUCUUCAAAUCCUCUCUCUGACACAUACACGACACCCAUAGAAACCAUGAAAACCAUGAUAGAUCCAGCUGUGCAAGAUCCUAAUUGCUCUCUAUGCUGAGGUUCGCUGGUGCUCCUACAACAUAUUCUCCACCCAAGAGUCUAGAUUCAAUUAUGGUCUAGUAGACUAGUUUUGAUUAGGGAUGAUGAUGGCUAUGCAACUUUCUAGAUGAAAGUUAAGGAGAUUUUGAGAAAUUUUGGAAUUUGAUGUUAGGAAGGAUUUUAAGAAGAGACUAAGUAAAGAAAAGUAUUAUUUCCAGCAAAUAGGUGCCAAAGAAAAAUUUUGAGCUUAAAACUAAAAGAGAAAAGAAAACAGAACUGAUAUUUUUAAAAAAAUUGUUUAUUUUUGAAAAUUAGUUUCACAUCAAUGAAAAACAUUUUGAAAAAAUUCCAUGUGUUUUAAAUUUUUCUUCAUGUGGAAAAAUAAAAUAGUUGUAAAAAAAAUUAAAAUGCAGUGUGACUCAGAAAUUUUCUUUUUGUUUAUAUUUGAUUAAAAUUCCACAUCACCUAAAUAAACAUUUUUAUUUUCCAUGUCAUUGAUUUGUUAGCAAAAAGUUACAUGUCAGUGCCACCUCAUUACUAUGUCAGCAUAGAUAACUGUCUUUUUUUUAAGGCAUUUAGCAAUUGUCGUCAAAUGUUUUUAAAUGUGAAAAUACAGGGUUUAAAUUACUCAAAAUUGGAGUAUAUGAACUAAAUUACACUUUUCUCUAUAGUAGUGGGACCUACAGGUACUUUGACCAUAUAUUUGCAUACUGGUUCUCUCUUACUAACAUUUUUUUUUUUCUUUUCAUUUUCCUUUACAAGGUAUGCAUGCAGGAUUACCUAAAUACAUCCCUGUCAACUUAAAAGACAUAGAAACAGCAGGAUUUCAAGAGGGAGAUGAGGUGUCGUUGGAGACUUUGAAGGAGAAGGGUUUGAUCAACCCAUCAGGAAGAGAAAGAAAACUCCCUUUAAAGGUACAUAUGAUCUUUGAUUUAUGUUGCGACAACUGUAGGGUUGAGAUUUUGCCUUUUAAAUCCAUGUGUAAGUUUGAUGGCCCUAAAAGAACUUGUUUCUCUUGACCAAUUUGUUGAAUAGAAUGUUCUGUUACCUUAUGCAUGAAGCAUUAAUGCUGACAAAAAUUGAUUCUAGCUUCUUCUAUUAAGUGAAAAUAACAAUGCAAUCGCAAUAAGCUCUGUCAAAAGAAGUGCAUCCUUUGAUUUCGGAGUUCAGUGUUGAACAAUUUAAGAGGUGGGCGACUAGGUGCAUGAGGUUCACUCCAGCUACUAAUUUGCCUAUAUUGCAUACUCUAAUUUGACACUUGCUUUUUAAUUUCGUCUGCAAAAAUACAUUUCCAAGACUCGUGAAAAAUGCUUGCUUUAUUAUGGAAAUUGUUUCACAUUGUAUUCUGUCUUAUUCGGAAUAUGAGGUUAUUAAAAUGCAGAACAGCAUUCAUCUCUUGACAACUGGUUCUUCAAUUUCCAUACAAAUCUUUUUUUUUUUUUUGCCUGCAAUGAAGCAACUAAAAUGUUCUCGUUGAAGAUUCAGCUGGCCAGAGUCCUAUUUAUCAUGUUCAAUUUGGAAACUAUCAAUCCAAUUGUGGUUUCACUUGCUUGUGUUAUCUAUUGUUCCUAAUUGAGUUUGAAAGCCACUAGAAUUUUGUUUUGUCAUAUGUGUUUCUUUUGAUUGAUUUCUUGAACAUUCUUUGCAUAACUGUAUAAAUGGCCACGAUGCUUAGACACAAAAGCAUUUCAUGUUUGCUUUUAUUUCUGGAAGAUUGCAUCUUGCAAAAUCAGCAAAUCAACAGUUCACUAUGGUAACAGGAGUUGCAUCUUUUCUUAUUCUGAUUCUCUGAUUAACUUUGUCUCAGGAAAAGUCAAAAGAAGUGGACCACAUUAGGUCAAAAUGUUCUUCCCUAAUUUAAGACUGAAAGAAUCUUGAUUGCAAAAUCUACUUUUAUUAGUUCAUGGGGAUGGGUUUAUUGAACAUGUGACAUAAUGUUGUUUUUAAAAUAAAUAUUCAUUGUUAUUGAUUAUUUUGUUGAUUUAGAUUCUUGGUGAUGGGGAGCUGAAUCUAAAGCUGAAGUUGAAGGCCCGUGCCUUUUCAGCCUCGGCAAAGGAAAAGCUUGAGGCUUCUGGCUGCUCUCUCACUGUAUUGCCUGGCCGAAAGAAGUGGGUUAAGCCGUCAGUUGCAAAGAACCUUGCACGAGCUGAUGAAUUCUUUGCCAAGAAGAGGGCUGCAGCAGCUGAGUCAAACUCUGCAUGAAAGGCGUACAAUUGCUUUGCUUGAUUUGAUAAAAUGUUGAGAGCAGUGAAGAAAAUUGCUUUGUGUAAAUUUUUUUUCAUCAUUUUGCUCUGCAUUUAGAUUCUUUUUGGGGAGCAAGGGAGGGCUAAUGUUAUUAGGCUGUAAUUCCUUGGAUUCAUUCAAUAUUUUUUGUCAGUUUUCCAUCUUCCUAGAAUUCAAUCAGACAAUUCGCUCUCACUUUCUCUUAGUUAUGCUUUUGUGAUAGAAUGAAUGCUUCUCAAAACCCAAAUAUGAUUUGUUGGGCGAGACUUUUUAUUCAUUUCAUUCACUAAAAAGAAGGAAUCUUUUUCAUGGUGGCGGCAGACAUAAAUCAAUAAUGCAAUUGUGUUCUUCGCUCACCUUGUGGAGCUAUCCGAAUUGAUGCACUAAGAACCCACCCACAGUGGGGGGUGAAAAUUCUCACUUGAUAGAGAAACAAAGCGGGCCCUGGGGCCUUUGUCCGACAAUCUCUCCCUCAUUGGUGACCUUUGCAACCGAAUUUAGCGUGGUCCAGUUUGUUGGUAUGCACAAAGAAGAAUCCCAAAUAGAAUUUCAAUGUUUAAAAAGAAAAAUAAAGAAUGGAUCAGCUUGAAUCCUUGUCACAUCACCAACGGCUCCUGUCACUCUUGUCAUUGAUUCCCAUCGUUGCUCUUCUACAUCUCAUCGUUGCUUCCAUCUGCAGGCAAGACGCCACUGCGUUAUAUCAGUAAGGCGUCACGCCCAAAGACUGUGCGAUAAGAAAAACGGUGGGGUGGGGAGUCAGCCACCUGGGAUUUUCUUUUAAUUAGUCUAUGAUGGUUUGGGUUCUUCUUUAUCUUGACAAAAAAACCAACAGAUGAAGCUUUUUAGGAAGGAUUUAGCUACCAAUUGCUGUUCAGACAAAAGGAAAGUGAGACCCAAUCAAACACUUUGCUUUUCCACAAGGUUUCCAACGCCCAACUCAUUAAGUAGAAAUAAGUUAAGACAAUGGAAACCUUGUUUAUUUAUCUUGUCACCUCAUGCAUUGCUCUUUCGAAAAGUAGUAGUUGCGUGGAUUCUGUUCACGGUGAUGGCGAAAUGUUGUUUGCCUGGCCUGCGACUCAACUAGGAGUGGUAAUUAUUGAGAGAGCGACACAACUAGUGCUUUGCUUGUUUAGCUGAGGGCCACUCUUCUUGCUUCCUAGUUCCAUCUUUUUAUCAUUCGCUGAUAGUGUACGUUAAAUAUAAACUUUUUAUCUUAAACCUCUAUUAAGAUUUUAUAUUUAAUAUAUUAUCAGUUUAUAUAAUUUAUACAUCAUCAAUGAAUGAGAGAUUACCAUCUUAUUAAUAAAUAAAUUUAAAAAUAUAGAAACCUUUCGAUCACCUUCUUUAAUCAUACCAAACAUAAUCAUUAUUGACUACAUCCCGAAAUCUCUUUCUAUUUCCUUUCUUUUCCUCCAUUGUGAAGCUAAGGACUUUUUAUCUUUUGUAGGAAAAUCCCCUUCUUUAGUCUUGGAAAAUCAAACAAAUUGAGUGAUCCAUCCAAAUAAGCACAAGGAGUUUUCUCGUGUGUAUCAUUCUUUCUCGCAUAAUUUAAGCCCAUGGUAACUCAAUUCCAAAUGCUUCUUUUGUUUUUUCAUAAUUUGUAUAGAAAAUCAUUUGCUCGUUAAAUUCAAACUUUUGAUUUUAAUGAGAAAAGAUGAGUUAAUUAGAUGUAUGUUUCUUCAAUGAUUUUCUUUUAAAAGGGAGGGACUUAGUUUUUUUAUCUGUGUUUAUUCUGGUUUUGGAUGUUGCAUAUGCAAGAAUAUGUGUUUGUUGUUGGAGAAAAUUCAUCCUAUCUGAAUAUAGUCAUGCAUGAUAAGUCAAUUGCUCAAUAAGAACCAAAUUUAUUGAAUUCAACACAUUAUUACAAAGUUUGUGAACUCAUAAAUAGAAAGGGGAACAACAUAAAAUAGCUCAGUGCAACUCAUCAGAAUCUGCAAUCAAAACUUGCACCCAAACAAUAUCCAAAAGUUAAUUUGCUUCUCUGUAAGUGUACAUAAAGUAACCUUCCCUAUUAUUAUUAUUUUUAAUCUGUCAAUUUCAUUGAAGGUCUACCUCUUAUCUCACAAUCUUGAAUCCUGUUUACACACUUAAGAUAAUGCCACCUAAGUAUCAAAUUCAAUUAUAAGAUCUUUUUUACCCAACCAAGAGGACAGUCAAAAGAAAUGAAGAGCCAUUUUGAUUGCCAAUUCAACAUAAUUCGAAUCUUGUUUAUCAAGAGGGUCGAAAAAAAUACCAUCUAUUGAACUAGAUGUGUCGCUCAAAACUUCUCUACAACUAAUGGGGUCUAGUUUACCUCUCGUCAAACCAUUAACAUUAAAUUUCAAUUCAUCUUCUUUUGGAUAAAUUCAAGAAAUUCCUUUGCUAGAAUCAACCUUAUUACAAGCAUAAGCAAGGACCGAUUGAUUUGACCACCAUCCCAACUUAUCAAUUGCAUUAUUCCUCUCGAUAGCUUGGAUCCAAAACAUAUAUCUCAUCUUGAUCUAGAAAAUCAUUUCUUCUUUAUCCCACCUUUUCCUAUUGACAAUUGCCUAAUUCCUAGUAAACCAUAGAGACUAAAAGGUAGCACCACAAAUUGCUAGCCAUUUCUUUUUAAAAGUGUCACAAAAAAAUUCAUUUUGGCAGAGCAAAAUUUUCUAGAUAGAGGCAAAUAGACUUUCACACACAAUAGCUUUAAAUAUUCUUUCUCAAAUUCUCUUCUCCUUAGCCUUUCUCUUCCUAUUCUUAGCCUUCCCCUACCACUUACCUAUUCUCCACACCUUAUUUACUCUAUUCUUAACCUUACUCUACCAUUUACUUAUUAUCUCUCAACUAUCACAGCAUUCAAUAUUUCAAAAACUGCUUUAGUCUUUCUUUUCACCACCUUUAACGGAUCUUUUUUUUUUAUUUGCAACAUUACCUUUUCUUACCACAAGAACCCUUUACAUUUUGUAUGAUCCAUCAGAGAGGCAUGAUUGAACUAAGUAAAAUUUUACUAGAAAAGCCUUGCAUUACUAGAAGAGAUGAACAAUUCUACCAGUAACCAAUUCGAAUCUAUUUCCACUUACAUCCAAGACUUGAUGAAAAUGAUCCAAGUGUCUUAGGAGAGGAUGUAAACAUUAGAGGAUAACAAUAAGCAAAUGAUGAGAUGAUAUCCCAACUUGUAUCCUUUUUUGCUACUAGUUCUCAAGCUUAACCUACACAACUUAAUGACAACGAAAAUGUUCCUGACAAGUCACUCUCUUGGUUACGAACACAAAUGGGAAUGGAGGAAAUGGAGAAAAUAUUGUUGAUGUGGUAGUCACUGAAAAUCCUAACAUGACCAAUCCCCUUAUGGUAGUUAUGCUAGCCACUACCUCCACUACAGUGAUCUCGCCAAACAAAACUUAGGGAUUUAUGACAAAACAAGAGCUUUGGAGGUUACUCAAUCAAAAGAAUAAGGGCUUGAACUUUUUUGAAUUUGAUCUUAAAUGGCUCGACUUAACUAAUGUAAUUGUUAAGCCAUAUCCUAAGGACUACACCAACCUCGAGUUCAAGCAAUUCAAUGGUAAGCUCAGGGAUGCAUGAAAGCUUGUUAUGAAAUUUGUGGAAACCUUUAGAGUAGCGAGAUUGGAUGAUGAUUUGAGGUUGAAGAUAUUCUCCAAGCCUCUUAUGGAAAGAGUCUAUACAUGGUGUGUCAAUUUCAACCUUAGUUUUGUGGAAUCUCGGAGCCAAAUGUGCAGGAUGUUCGAAAAGAAAUUCUUCUCUACUUAGGAUGUCACGACCCGGAACCUCCUUCGGGCCUAUGACAACCGCCGCGACGUCCUGACUGACACUCAUUACCCGGAAUGCCAAUCGGAACCCCGCAAGGCUUACGUAUCAGUUUCUUGCCUUUCCUGUGAGCAAUCAUUGUUAAACAUUCCGUUUUAACCAAUUACCAGUCGUUUUCGGCUCAAGUAAAUCAAAAGACAAAAAUAUAUUCUUUUUUUAAAAAGAUUUAUAGACAAAUAUUAUUAUUCAAAAUAUUGAUUAAAAUAUAGCAUUUUUAUAUAAAACAAUAUUUAUAGAAACACGUGUAAGUAAUCUUUUGUAACGUUAAAGUAAAAUAAAUUCAUACAUACAAUAAUUUACAAAGUUAUAAUGUACAAUAAUAAUUACAAUGACAAGUGGCCCAUAAAUACACCAAGUGUUGGUGAUAGUAACCUACUGUCUGUGAGAUAAAGGGGUCAACUGGAAUCCUCGACAAAAUCGGGUAUCUACAAGCUACCACAAGCCUGAAAUAUUUGGAAAGGAGGUCGUUGAGAUUUUGCAAUCCCAAUGAGUAAACAAACAUUAUUAUAAAUAUCUAAAGGCGAGUAAAAUGGAGACAAGUUUAAACAACAAAUCACAAACCAUUUCAUAAGGUUUUCAAUUAUUUCUUAAACCAUAAAAUAUUUGUAAUUUACCAAAACAGUUGUUAAGGCUUAUGGCUUUUAUUAAAAACAAGGCUCAAGCAAAAAACUAAUCCUCGGGGAUACCUUGGCAGAGGCAUCUAACCGAGUCUGCCAAGGUUGUUAAGAUAUUUACAUGUUAAACACAUGUUAGUUUUGAAAACAAGCCGUUCCUUGGCGUUAGCCAAGUUACACAUUCAUGUGGGGGUUCGACGUGAAGUGAGCUCUAACAUUACCCAGGGAGUUACCCUCAUCGCCUUUACAACCGGAGUAACUAUGCAACCGGGUUUACUGUACCCCUCUAAUAGGCAGUCCACGGAAAUUCAUCACUGCAGUGACUAAACCCACCAAUUUUAAUAAAAUUUCGACAGUAUAACGUAGCUUUUAUUUAUUUACCCAGCCUGCAUAGUAAAAGACAGUUUACAUAAAUUCCCAAUGCAAUUAUAAAAUAUAGACACAUAUACUCAUAUAUCAUAAGCCAUUCAUAGGAAAAUAUAUUUUUCAAGACAAUUGGCAGCCUCCAAUUACCCAAUUUCAUAAUCAAAAGUUUCUCAUUUCAGAUAAUCAAUAUUAUAUAUUUAUUUGUCACAUUUAUUUCUAAAACAUCAAAAGUUCCAUUUUAAUCUCAUUUUCGUUUCAUAAAAUACAUAAAGAGCAUUUAAAAAUAAACUUUAGAUAAUUUACAAUAAUAAUAUGCUUACUCACUGUUUGUACAAAUUAAAUGCUUUCUAGGUGCCCCGAUCACUGUUCGUCGGGUAUGACUUCCUUGCCUUUACCGGAAGGCUCUCCUCCUAGACACAUUGCAAAAAUUACACAAUUCACCACAUUGAUCCUAAAUCACUAUAUAAUUGACUUAAAUCCUAUACUAAUGCAUGGUAUGAAAUGCAAUAGCCUAAAACGGCUUAAACGCGGUAUUAACCUAUUUUUGGCACUUUACCUGAUAAAUUGCUAACGCGCUCCAUUUUAGCUUUAAAUUGUCCCAUUUUCUCUCCAACAUUUCUAACCAUUAAAUAUCAGCCAAUAACCCUCUAAAAUCACCAAAAUCAGCUCACUUUCCUCCUUGAAAAAUUAGGCCAAAAAUGGGACAUUAACUCGGUUAAUUUUCCACUUUGUUUUUCUAUCACAUUUAACCAUUUUUCAUCAUUUUCUCUUCAUUUCUCUUAGAAUAAAAAUCAGUUCAUCAUCAUUGUACAUCAUUGAAUAUUCGGCCAAGGGUGGGUAUUGUGAGAAUUUCAUGCUUUCUUGCCCAAUUUGAUUUCUAUACACAUUUAACUAACUAAAACUACCAAUUUAACUAAGAAUCAAAACAUAAAAAUUUCAAAAUCCUUCCCCUUGAAAUUCGGCCAGCCCUUGGUAUCACUUUUUGAUCUCUCUCCUCAAGCAUGCUAAAUGGAAACAAAGGCAUAGGAAAGGUAGAAAUCAAGCUAAAGUCGAAAAAUCUUACCGUUAGACUCGUAAACGGACGAAAAACGUGAAUUUCCCUUUGAAUUUUCUAGUUUUCCUUUGGUUUUUAUCUUUUCUUCCUUUCCUCUCUAUUUUCUCUCUUAUUUUCUCCUUAUGGCCGACCAUCACCUGAUGUGGGGUUUAAAUGGGCUGAUUUUCCUUUAAAAUAAUAUUAAAUCAUUAAAAAGUGUCAUGUGUCACUUUUCCAUUGACCCUUUUUUAAAAUUUCGUCCUUUCAACUUCAAUUUUUCACCACUUAAAAUACCAUAGUUAUUCAUACCAAAAAUAAAUAAAUCCUAUGAUUUUGACAAGUUUUGGGUGGUGAAAUUUACGGUUUUACCUCGAGAUGACAAAAUUACCGUUUUGCCCCUAUGUUCCAAAAAUUGCCGAAAUUGAAAAUUUUCACUUCCUAUCAUUAAAUUAUACUCCAAAUAGUUAAUCUUGAUCAAAAAUUUCACUCCAUAAUCAAAUUAUUAUCUUAGGUGGCAAAAUGACGAUUUUGCCUCUGAACAUCAAAAUUUUCAAUUUUUCCCUAAAUGAACCCUCGAACUCCGAACAAUCAUUUUUAGUCAUUCCUGGACUGUAAAAUAUUAAAUUUCAUCAUACGAUUCCUAUUUGAACUAGUUCGAGGUUAAAUCAACUCAAGUGUACCGUUAGGUACAAUACUGUGUUUCGUCUUUUCUUAGAGACUUUCUUAGCGUAAUAAUAUGCUACUCAGUGCAUGUAAGUCAUGACAUGUGUUUAUAGGGUCGAGUUUUACAUAGGAGAAUAUUACCUCUUAUUGACUUAGGAAGAGAGCAUCAAAAGUCUAGAAAGGAUCUCAUGGAAUACAUCUAACACUUUAAAGAAAGGGUGUUAGACAUACAAAAGUCUCAUGAUGGAAGGAGUUUAUGAAAGUUUGCAUCCAAUGGAUAUUUGAUGAGUAUAUGUUACACUUGAAAACUUACCUCUUUCCACUUUUACUACUUUAGUUGAAAUUGCACAAAAGACCAAUAAUAUGAUUCUUAGACAAAGGGGAUAUAGUCAUUUUCAAAUAAGGAAUACCUCGACAAUGAGUAAAAUUCAAGGAAAAAGAAAAGAAAGAAGAGGCCAUCAACCUAAUCUAUGUCCUGGACGAGAUAACCUAACAAAAAGACAAGAUUAAGAGGUUGAUUCUCCCCAACUAUUCUUAGUCCACCAAAUAGAGUGACAACUCUUCUCCACAAAUGGAUUAGGAAUGGAUGGAUCUGUUGGGUUUGGCUAUGAACGGCAUGCUCGAAAUUAUACAACAAAAAGAAAAUUAAAACUUUAAAAACAAAACAUACCUCCACCCAUGAAUCACCAUGGUGAUAUUUUAACACAUAGAAUGGCAUAUAAAAUCAUAAAAUCAGAAGCUAACCUUGCCAACAUUCUUUUGAUCGAAAUAGCAGUUUCCUCAACACAACCCGUAAACACAACAAGAAGCAAGAACCCUAUCGAAUCAAGCUCUUGACCUCUAACAGUAGUACAUACAAUUUCACUUGAACUGUGCUACCAAAAGGGGACAAUGCUUGUCCCUUUCCAUUUCUCACAGGGAUGGCCGAAUCACACACUUGAAAAAUUGCUUCAAAAAUAAUUUUUCUCCUUCACAAAAUAAGUUAUAAAACACAAGGAGAAAACCUUUUUUUUUCUUUUCUAACAAGUCUUUUUCUUCAUAUGUGGAAAAAUAGUUAAAUGUAUUUAUAUAGCUAGGUUAAAAUUAACUUUAAUUUUGCAAUAAGGCCCUCCAAAUUAUAAAACAUUACAAUAUAGGGCCAUGACUUAAUUAAACUAUUUUAAUUAAGCCUAAUGGAAAUUAGAUUAAAAUAAUUUCCUUUAUAUUAUUGCAAUUUCAACAUUAUAAUUUUAACUAUUUAUCUAUUAUGCCCAAAACUUAAUUAAACUCUUUUUAAUUAGGUUUAUAGAAGUUAAUUACCUAACAUGUGAUUCAAGUCUAACUUAAAUCAUCAUUUUCCCAAUUUAAUUCAAAUGCAAUCAUUCUAUGUAACCCAUUAGAUUCCUAACAUAUUAGCAAUGAAAUUGAUUAAUGACUUUAUUGAUUAAUAUAAAUAUUAAUCAAUUAAUUUAUAAUCAAUUUCAUAGACCAAGAUUGGCAUCUAGCAAAUGCAUCAUGGCCACUCAAUUAUUAGCAAAGUAAAAGGAUUUUUUGACACAGUUUAUCAGUGUGAUUCAUUCCCUCAUCAUGUAUCCUAAAGAUGAUAAGACCUUGGUACAAUAUCUACUCUUAUUGACCUUUAUAUUUAUUCCUACAGUUAUAGUAUUAGCUUUAUAGAGACUUAUGAAACUUUUUCAUAAUCUCCAAGUCACCUUGGACAAAGACUUUGAUAAGCUAAUGUUAACCAAAAAUUGAUAGGAUAUGUUCUCUAAAACACUUGAAGUGAUGAUUUUUUUUUUUACUAUUCAUUUACCUUCACAUGCUUCAUACUAUACCAAAAAGCAUAUUUGGUUAGGCACUCGUAGGGAUGAAAUUAAAGUAUUGCAUUUCACAUAUAAGAUAACCUGGUAUCUCAAGUCUAGGGAGUAUUUACACGACUGACACAUAAGAAAUGUUGCAUAGACACUGGAGUGUAUUACCAAAUGCACUUCUCAUGGCGGGUCAUGUUCAAUGAACUUGCUCUCCUACGCAAGCACCUACAUUCUAGUUCCAAGUAUCUCUACACUUCAAUCUAUGAAAUCAAUUGCUUAUUUCCAAAGUAAGGAACAUAAAAUGUACUAGUCUCUAAGCAUCAUUGAUGUUCAGUCUUAAUGAUACAUUGACUAGGAAUAUUUUGAGAUUAUACUUGGAUGCAUAAGGAUCUCAUAACAAUAACCCAUUAUAAUUCCCUUACAAGGCAUAUUAAUAUCAUGGAUUCCAUCUAAUUAGACUUAUAACUCAUUAUAAUUAAUGUCUUAUUGAUGAAGAAAAACCUCUAAUCAUUCAAUAUGAAUGAUAUCAUUGCAUGAUUGGAACUAAGCCUUGACUAAUCUCAAUUGGUUGCAGGGCUCAUCCUAAUAGGAUGAACAUGACCUACAUUUUGCGACCAUUAACAACAAAAAGAAGCACAACCAAAGAUAUUGUGAUCAUUUCCAGACAAUUGGUCAUUCUCUUAUUGAAUGUAGAAACCUGCAUAAAAUAUUCCAAUUAAGGGUGCAAGUAAGAGAGAUACCGAUUCAAAACAACAAAGUCUAGAAUAACUUAUUCCUUACUCAUGUGUGAUACUUCUAUGACUUUGACUCUUAAUUACUUUAUGUAUUGAAAUUUAAAACUUGCAAAGAAAAUAAAUUCACAUUUCAACUACAACUUUAUCACUAAUGCUUUAGUUGUAAUGAUUUUAUACUAUUAGCCAUAAGCUUUAUCGCUCACUAAUUCAUAUUUCAGUCGUAGCUUUAUCACUCAUACUUUGGUUACAAUGAUAUUAUGAUAUAGAUUGGAAGCUUUAUCACUCAUUUUUUUACCAUAGUUUAUCACUUAUAAUUCAACCAUAACUUUAUUGUUCAUACUUUGACUUUAACUCGAUAUACUACUAUUGGCAACAACUUUAUUGCUUACUUUUUGGCUAUAGCUUGCUAUUCAUGAUUGCAACUUUUAUGCUUAUUUAAAGGGUUGAACUGAUCUCAUUCAUAUUAGGUUAGUAGGUAACCUCCCUAAUAUAAAGUUUAGAGUUCCCUUUCAGCUGUAUUUAGUAAUGUAAAGUGUUUUUUUUUCCUCAGAUGAGCCUAUAAAGCUAAUAAAGGAGUUAGUAAAAGCAACAACAAAGUAAGUAAUGGUUUAGUCAACUAUGGAGUCCCAUGGAGAAGGGUGUCGUUAUUUCUAGUGUAGGAAAAGCAUCCAAUUCUCAUUGCCAUUUCGCUUCAAGAUCCUAUUGUGAGACCUCAACCUCUAUAGGCUUGUAAUUAGGCAUAGAUGUAAGAACACGGGUUAGGGGUAGUUUCGUCAUUUCCCUAGUAAGCCUCUAAAAGUAAAUUUUAAACAAUAUUAAGGCCUAAGUAGGCCUAAGGCAUAAAUGAAUGAUGAAAAUAUGGGUAAAAUGACGAAGGAAAUAAAAAUGAUGAUGAUUUUCAUGGUAAGGGUAAAAUGGUCAUUUUUCACCUCGAGUAAAAAAUUUUAAGUUUUUGCUAACCCAAGCAUUUAUAGACCAUGAUGGACCUUGUCCUAGUGUCAAAAGAGUAAAAAGAUUGCAUAAAGGAUUGGAGGACAACAAGUUAACUUGUGAGGGCAUUUUGGUAAUUUAAGUGGAGUGGAUAAGCUUAGGCUAUAAAUAUCUUUUUCUUCUAGCAGCUUCUUCUCUCAUUUUCCAGCAGCUUCUUCUUCUUUUUCCUUCUUCUCUUUCACGUUGCUUCCAACCUCCAUGAAAGUUUGAUAUAAACCUCCAUAACCUCCCUUAAAAUAGCUCCACUUUUUAUGCUUUUGGUGCACCCUUUCAUAAACCCUUGUGCUCUUCCACUCUCUCACUUAAAGACCCUUGAAAAAUCUUAAUUUUCAUACUCUCUCUCACUAGUUAAGUGUUUUAGAGAAAGAAAGAGGAAGCUUCAAAAAUAGCUUGUAAGUUUUGGAAAGAAUUUCAAAUACAAGCUACCAAGGUGAGUAGUACACUAGAAUUGAGUUUUAGUGUUGAAAAUGAUUAGUGUUUAAACUUGGGGGUGAUUUGGUAGUUGAGGUUGUUCAUUCACUUUAGAGUGAGUAGGAUGGUGAACAUAGAUGGCCACUUAAAUGGCAAAUGGAAGCUAACUAAGAAAAAGCUUUUAGAAUUCAUAAGCAUGUGAAUUGACUUAAUGGUGAUGCUAAUGUGAUGAUAGGUUUCAACGAAGCCCCACCGUCCCAUUUGGACCAUUAGGGAAGUUAGAAUCGACUAAAGGUUCAAUGAAAUACUGGUGAGUGAACUUGCAUUUCAAAACUGUUUUGGGAAUGUGAAUGUAUUUGCAUAAUGCCUUUGAAUGAGUUUAUUCAACUUUUCUUAAAAAUGGGUACCUUGGGAACAAGCUUUUGGAUUAUUGUCUUUAUAUAUGACAUGUGGCUGCUAUGGAUUCUUGUUCUAUGUCAUUGUGUUGAUAUACAUAUAUGUUGUGCAUUUAUGGCUGACAUUGUGUGAUAAUGAUAACCGUGUGUGUGCACGAUGUGGGGGGAUGCACAUGAUGGCACUAAUUGUGCACGAUGUGGGGGGAUGCACACGAUGACUCCGGCUAUGUGCACGAUGUGGGGGGAUGCACAUGAGCUGGAUGAGAUGAUAGUGAUAUUGGUAUUUAUCCAUGUAUGCAUAUGUAUAUAUGUUUAGAGAAUGAAAACUCAUGAAUAUGGUUUAUGGUUGAAAUGCAUAUGAAUUUGGCAUGUUGAACUUUGGAAAUCUUUAUGUGUUUUAUGUUGAUUUUGUCAUUUCAGCAGGAUGGCCUUUUUCUUGAAAGAACGGAAAUAUUUCUUUGGUGCUCUGUUUCUCGCUGCAACGAGAAUGAUUUUCGCUGCAGCGAGAAACUCUCGGGUUUCGAGGGGAAAUGCGGGCCAAAAUCUCGCUGCAGCGAGAAAGUUACUGUAGCUUCUCGUUACAGCAAGAAUGAAUCUCGCUAUAGUGAGAAACUUUCUAUUUUAUGGCAUAAAUUUCUCUGCAGCGAGAAUAAAUUCUCGCUGCAGUGAAAAACUUUCUGUUUUGUUCCUUAUUUUGUUCAGUUGCUGACUAUUUUCCACUUCUUUGGUACCAUAGUUGAGUAUGGACUUCUAACAUUAAGGAAUUAAUUAGUUAAGUUUGAAAUGAGGAGGUUUGGUCAGAAACCCUCGUUUGGCUAAUAACUUGAAUCCUAACUUCGUUGCAGGGACAAUUCAUUCUCGCUACAGCGAGGAUCCGUCGUUUAUUUGACUUGAUUCGCAUGAAUGCUAUUAAAGUUUUCACUCUCCAAAUCCUUUGUUGAGCAUGGACCCUUUUCAUAAGGUGAUUUACUCAUGUAGGGUUUACAUGAGGGGUUUUAAUAAGAACUAAAAUAAAUUGCAUUGUUUUGAAAAAUCAAUGCAUCAUGAUUUCGUUAAACAUUUCUUAUUGUUUGCUUGUUCCCUUUCUUGUUCACUCACUAGGUUUAUACUCACCGUUUUCAACUUCAUGUUUUCAGAUCAAGAGGCAGCCGGUAACUAGGUCGAGGUGCCCUUGUAGAUUCGUUUUCUUGGUAGGUAUCUCAGCAUUCAGUAGCCGUACAUCACUCGAGUCUCUCCACUGGAAAUUGAGUAUCCUUGUGUUGUGUAUAGACAAACCAAUGUAAAUUAUUAAAAUAUAUGUUGUAAACAACAUAUGUAUAUUUUGAUGGGAAUGCCACUACGAAUGGACAAUGAUUAGCAUUAUUUUGAUCCAAAUCUAUGAAAUGUGACUUUAGCAACUUUGAUGGAAAGAAUGAAUAGGUCAUAUUAAUAGGCUUGUUUGGGCUUAGUGGACUACGUCCAUUGGGCUCCAUUGGGCCCAUGCACCGAUCAUGGCUCAAAAUUUGGGUCAUGACACCUAUAGUGAAACAUUCUUUGUUAGGAUUGUCAUGACCCAAAUUUUGGGCCAUGACUAGCGCAUGGUCUCAAUGGACAUAGUCCAUUAAGCCCAAGCAAGCCUAUUUAUAUAAUCUUGCUCGUCCUCCUGUCAACUAUUCUUACAUUUACAUCUCAUAAUCUCAACCCUUAAGUACUUUAAUAGUAAGUUAUAACCAUCAAAAACUACAUUUAUAUUAAUCCAAAAUAACAUUAACCACUACCACUCAUGGUGGCUUUACCAAUCAAAAUAUACACAUAUGGUCUAAAGCAUACAUCUUAGUACUUUACAUCACAUGUACGUAUUUACAAACAUAAUUGACUCUGGACUUCCAACGGAGUGACCAAAGUGAAGGUGCGGCUAUUGAAUGCCGAGAUACCUACCAAGGAAACGAAUCUACAAGGACACCUUGACCUAGUUACCAGUGAGUGAACAAGGAAGGGAACAAACAAACGAUAAGGAAAGUUUAAAGAAAUCAUGAUGCACUUAUUUUCAAAAACAAUGGAAUUUAGUUUAGUUCUUAUUAAAACUCCUCAUUAAACCGUUAAUGAUUUAAUCACUUGACGAUAAAGGAUCCAUGCACAAUGAAUUAUUUGAAGAGUAAAAACUUUAACAACAUUCAAGCAAGUCAAGUGAAACGACGGGUCCUCACUGUAGUGGAAAGGCAUUCUCACUACAGUAAAAUUUGGGCUCAAAUUAUCAGCUGGAUGAAGGUUUCUCAACUGGCCGAGGGUUUCUCUCUAAAACCCCUCCUUUCAAACUUAAUUAAAUAAGUUCCUUAAUGUUGGGAGUCCAAGAUCAACUGUGGUGUUAAUGAUAAGAAAAAUGGGGCAGCAACCAAACAAGGUAGCAUGCAGGACAGAAAGUUUCUCUCUUCAUUCUCGCUGCAGCGAGAACCAGGCUAGUAUAACCCUCCAAACCCGAGAGUUUUUCACUGCAUCGAGAAUGAUUCUCACUGCAGCGAGAAACAUGGCACCAAGGAAAAAUUUUCAUCAUCUCAAAGAAAGGCCAUUUUGCUGAAAUGACAAAAUCAACUUGAAACACUUAGCAAUUUCCAAAGUUCCACAUGCAAGAUUUUACAUGCAUUACAACCAUAUACCAUAUUCAUGACUUUAUAUAACACACACACACACACACACACACACACACACACACACACACAUAUAUAUAUAUAUAUAUAUAUAUAUAUAUAUACAUACAUCAUCAAGCAUACCAUCCCACCACACUGAGCUCAAUGCAAUAUCAUUAUCAUGUGUGCACUCCCUACUCGCACACUUCAACGUCAUCAUGUGUGCACUCCUUACUCGCACACUUCAACAUCAUCAAACAACAUUAUUCAUCANAUAUACACACACACACACACACACACACACACACACACACACACACAUAUAUAUAUAUAUAUAUAUAUAUAUAUAUAUACAUACAUCAUCAAGCAUACCAUCCCACCACACUGAGCUCAAUGCAAUAUCAUUAUCAUGUGUGCACUCCCUACUCGCACACUUCAACGUCAUCAUGUGUGCACUCCUUACUCGCACACUUCAACAUCAUCAAACAACAUUAUUCAUCAAUGCACAACACAUAUUCAUAUAUAUGCACACCAACAUAAUAUAUGAGCAUAUGGAUUCAUCCUUUUACACAUUUCACAUUUCACAACAUCAUAAAAACAUUUUAUCCAGGGCUUGUUCCUUGGCACACAUUUUUAAAGAAAGGUUGGAUAAAAUCAUUCAAAUGUUUCACCCAAAUACAUCUACAUUUCCCAAAGAAAUUUUGAAAUGCAAGUUCACUCACCGGUAUUCGUUAAAUCUUGACUCAACUACAACUUCUUCUAAUGGUCCAAAUGGGGUGGUUGGGCUUCGUUGGAACCUAUCAUCACAUUAGCAUCAUCACCAUCAACCCAACUUAGCAUUAAUAUUAUUCCAAAACUAUUUUCUAAAUUGAGUUCUACUAGUCAUUCCUGCUAGCUUCCAACAACCAUUAAAUGGCUAUUAUUUGCAUUACUCUAGUCACACUAAAAAUGAUUAAACAAUAUCAACAAUAAAAUACUCACAAAUCAAAUUACUAGACAUUAUCAAUAACUAAAAUAUCAACUCAAUUUCAACACUCACCUUGCUAGAUUUGUAAUUGGAUUCCUCCUCAAAAAUUUCCAAACUAUUAUAGAGAGUCUUUCUUUCUCUCUCUAAAACACCUAGCUAGUGAGAGAAAGUAUUGGUUUAAGACUUUAGAGGGUUUUUAAGGUGAAAGAGUAAAAGAGCACAAAGGGCUUGUGAAAAGGUGCAUAAAAGCAUGAAAUUUAAGACUAACUUGAGAGAGUUAUGGAAGCUUGAAGAGAACUCCCAUGGAGGAUGAAGAAACGUGAGAUGGAAGGAAGAAGAAUAAGAAGUUGCUAGAGAAUGAAGAAGCCGCUGGAAGAAAAUGAUAUUUAUAGCUAAAGCUUAUCCAAUCUCUACUUAAAUUACGAAAAUGCCUUCAACAAGUUAGCUUGUUCUCCUCCAAUCUUUUGUGCAAUCUUUUUACCUUUUUUACAAUGAAACAAAGUCCAGAAUGGUCUAGAAAUGUUCAGGUUCACGAAAACUUAAAAAUUUUGACCCGAGAUGAAAAAUGACCAUUCUACCCCUACUUUGAAAAUCAUCAUUAUUUUUAUUUCCUUCGUCAUUUUAUCCUUAUUUUCAUCAUUCAUUUACGCCUUAGGCCUACUUAGGCCUUAAAAAUGUUUGAAAGCACACUUCGAGGGGCUCACUAAAGAAAUGACGAAAUUACCCCUGACCUUGGUUAUCGCGUCUACACCUAGUUACGGGCCUUUAUGGGUCGAGGUCUCACAGAUUUUUUUUAACUCAGCUUUGUUUUUUUUAAGGUUUCUUAAUCACCAUAGAAAAAGGCUUUCGCUUUAGACAUACAUCCAUUGAGGCAAUCAAGCUUGAAUCCAGCUUUGCGAGCAUCAUCCAUGAGUUCUAACAUCAGUUUUAAUUUUCCUAGAGAAAUACUUCUCCAUGAAGUAUUUGCAAUCGCUAAAGCCUUAUCCAAGGUCCCUUAGCACAAUAAAGAUGAAAUCUACACUCUAACAGCACAAAUACUCCAAAGCUAGAACAUCUUGUAUAAGUUUUUUCUAAUGAUUUUCCAAACCUAAUAUCUUGCUGCUUGUCGCUCACCUCUUGCUGUGCACCAGCUUUUUGCUCACCCCUUGCCACACACAGGCUUAUUGUUUGCCUUUGGUCACAUACAAGCUUGCUACUUACCAAACUUGUUGCUUGUCGUUAGCCAAGCUUGUUGCUCGCCUCUUGCCAUGUACAAGCUUUCCACUCAAGCUCACCACACCCAAUUUGCCACUCAUCACACACAAGCUUAUCAUGACCAAGUAGCAUACCAUGUGUAGGUAGCUUGCAUGUGUACCAUGUGCAAGCAAUUGCUUUAAGUGUACAAGCUGAAUAAAUCUCAUUACAUGCAUAAGGAACAAUAUUGUGUGGUAUAGCUAUUCCACACAUAACAUUUGAAAUCUUUAAAGUAUUUAACGUGCAUUAUAUAUCUUUCUUUAUUAUAAAUCCAUUAAAACCUUUUUACAAGGAAUUCCAAGUGAGGGUGAAAGGGUUUUCAUGCAAGGGGAAACAAAGCAAGAAACAAAAAGAAAAAUAUCGCCACAUAAGGACAAGAAAGAAACAUUUGAGAUGUAUGCACAUAAGGCUGUACACAAGGCAUUAUCAUCCCACUGCGCAAUGCAUAUUUGCUACAUUGGUGUGCAAUCCCACCUUGAGUAAGAGGGUAUGUUAAGAAAUCCUUACGUGAGCAUAUAGAUUACAUAUUUUGAACAUCAAACUUGAUUUUAACCUUCAAAAGAAUCCAUUGACGCUUUUGAUUGUCUAUCACAUUUGAAGCAGAAAAUUUUCUAAAUCUAGAAAAGGUCAAAAUAUGUGAUUUUUAUAGAACAAUCUUUUGAAAAUAAAAAAUGAUGACAAUGAUUCCUUUUAUGUUUAGAUGAUCGAAAAUGAAUUUUUCAUAAUUUUUGGAGUAUGUUUGCUAUGGUAAAUGGGAACCGCAAAUUUAAUUUCAGUCUAACUUUUUCGAUUUUGUUCUUAAAACCAAAAUUUAGAUUUGGAUUCUUUUGGAUUUUGAUUUUUUUUAUAUUUUUAUUGAAUCCAAAUGGGAGUGUUUGCUUAUUUGCAUUAAAUAUCUUAAGUAAAUAGAGAGUAAAAAGGAAAAAAGUAAAAAUGAGGACAUUUACUUAUUUAAUGUAAAUAAGCCGAGUUGGUUUUAUAUAAUGUAAAUAAGCUGGCUAGUUUUAUAGGUAAUUUGUCUUAGAAACUGCAUUUUAUUUCAAAUGUAUCAAUACAUGCUCAUGAUGUUAUCGAUACAUGUUCAUAAUGUAUCGAUACAGUUUUUCCAAAACAAAAAAGUUUUGAUAGAUUGCCAAAUGUAUCGAUACAUUUCAUCGAUUUUUGAAAAAAUAAAAACGGUAAAAGAGUAUUUUCACAUCUCAUAGUAUAAAUAUGACCCCAACUCCAAGAGUUUUCAUUCUAAGCCGUCUCCCAUCAGUUUUUUAGCAACUUUAAGCUUUCUUAAUCCCACUUUCACCCUAAAUCAUCGUUUUGGAAGAUUGAAAGCUUAGUUUUGGGGUUUUCAAACAAAGGUGACAUCUUUCAACUUUUAAAUCUUGAUUUACGAAUUUUUUAACACUAAAAAUAUUAUUUUUAUGCCCAUAUUUUCUUUUGAACACUAAAGUUCAAAGAUUUUGUUAUUUUCCUUAGCAUUAAAGCUCACCUAAUGUAAGGAUGAAAUAUUUAUGGGUUUCUAAGCAUGGGUUUUAACUAGAAAAUUAGUUUAGCUAAAAGCAAGUAGUUUCGAAAGUACCUAGAAUAAUUAUCACGAGAUUUUUAUUUUAGGAAAUGAUUGUGAUAGUUGUUGUAUGAUAGGAAUACUUGAAAACUCCAAAGAUUUCAUCGAAAUGGAGUUGUGAUUGGAGCUCGGAAUCGAAUCUCCAACUAGGUGAGUGAACAAACCACUUUGAAAUUAUUUUGAUAUGUAAAGCUAGCAUGAUUUCUAUAAAAUGGAUUAUUUAUACAUGUUGAAUGAUAUCUUUAAAAUGGUUUAUCAAAGGAUUUUAAUUUCAAAAAUCAAAAAUGAUUUUCUAAGAAAAAUAAAUUCUUAGUGAUUAUGACAUGAUUGAUACAAUUGUUUUCAAAUUGUUUACAAAUCUACUAUGUAUGUAAAUGCUCUACUGUGUAUUAGUUUUCAACAAGAAGGGACAAGCACUUUAUGUUUGAAGUCCACUCGAUUGCUUUAAUCUUCGGACUAGUGUGGGUACAAGAUAUUGUAUGUUUAUUUGUAAAUGCUAUAAUGUGCAUGUUUGGUAUGAUGAAUGCCAUAAACUUAUGUAUAUGAUAUAAAUUCCAUAUACCAAAUAAGAUGAUUAAAUAUGCAUGAUGUAUACUAUAAGAUUUUGUAUAUAGUGUAAAUUCCAUAUACCAUAGAAGGUGAUUAAGUAUGCAUGAUAAAUGCCAUGAUUAUGUAUAUGAUGUAUAUUCCAUAUACUACAUGAGAUGAUUAAGAAAGCAUGAUGAAUGCCAUGAGAUUAUGUAUAUGAUGUAUUUCAAUAUACCUUAUGAGAUGAGUAAGCUUGUAUGUGAAGGACAUUCCACAUACCUAAUUUUACGAGUAUGAGAAUUCUAUGAGUGUGAUUGAUUCCACUCUCACGGGGUGCAAGUGACGACUUCACUCCUAUGGUGCAUGAUUAAUGCCCAAGGCCAAUAGGGAUGUACAUUGCCAGCCUGAGGUGAUAAGGGAUGUACCAUUACAAAGUAUGAGGUUAAUGUUAAUGGAAUGAUCAUAAUUACUAUGUUUAUGAUAAAUUCCAUGAGAUUUGUAUAUGAUGUAUUUUCAAUAUACCUUAUGAGAUAAGUAAGCUUGUAUGUGAAGGACAUUCCACAUACCUGAUUUUAAGAGUAUGAGAACUCUAUGAGUGUGAUUGAUUCCACUCUCAAAGGGUGCAAGUGACGACUUCACUCUUAUGAUGCAUGAUAAACACCCAAGGGUAAUGGCAAUGUACGUUGCCGACCCAAGGUGAUGGUGGAUGUACCAUUACAAAUUAUGAGUUUAAUGUUAAUGGAAUGAUCAUAAUUACUAUGUUUAUGGUAUGUUGCAUCUUAAUGUUGUUUAAGCAUUAUUCAUGAUUUGUACUCUAUGAUGGCAUGAGAAUGUGCUUAGUGAAAAAGACUGAGCCUUAGAGAAAGUCCCAAAAGGUAAGGGAAUUUAAUUAAUGGUAAAAAUGGAGGAUUUGCCUAAGAAUUUGGGUUCUGAGCUAAAAAUAUUGAUACAUAUAGGUUAUGUAUCCAUACAUUCUAAACAGAAUGCUUCAAGAAGCUUUCUGUGUGAAAUGUAUCAAUACAUUUUACUAAUGUAUCAAUAGAUGCUUAACAGUAUUGAUACAUUCAAGAAUGUAUAAAUAUAUUUGGUGCAUAAUAGGUUGUUUGAUUGAAUUUUAUGAGAAUUUCAAAAGUAAAAGAUUCGCAAAAGAAUAUGUUAACAUGUUUUCAAACAAAUGGUAUUCAAAUGUGUUCAAAUAACAUGUUUUAUGAAUUCCAUGAUUAAAUUGUUUAUGAAUGUCAUGAGAUUACAAGUGCAUGUUUACGAAAUACUUUUAUCCCCCAGCUUGUCCCCUUCUUGUAUCCAUUCAUAAAGUCUUUGUGACUCACACAUUAUUUUCCCUAGUUAUUUUGUUGCAUAUCAAUGAUAGCACCUGAUAGCAACUAGUGUUAUGGAUACCAAUGUUUGGUCUUCAUUCUUUGGUAGGUGUCUAGCAGCCACUUGAUGCCUAGAUGGUCAGUCACAUUCCGUUUAUUAGUCAGUCUUUUACUUUAUGUUAUGUUCACAGAUUAUGAACAUGUUUAUGUUAAUGUUGCCAAUGUUGGAUAUUUUAUAUUGAUAAUGUUAUGUAAUGAUGGCUUCAGAGCCUACAUGGACACCUGAGGCUGUUGUUGACAGCUAAUGUUAAUGUGCACUAUGACAGUGACACUUUUUCACACACACACACACACACACACGCACACACAUACCAAGUGCUUGAGCUAAUACAAUUAAGUUGAGAAGUUCUUUAAUUGUAUAAUGAGUAUUAUGAAUGCAAGCAUGAUGAUGUUGUAUUUAAAUGGAUGAUAUAAGAUGCUUCUCCAUGAAAUGAUGAAUGUUUAAUAAGGUUAUGGUAAGAGGCUUGCUUAGGCCUAACGGAUUAUGCUCGUCUAGGUCCAUGUGUCGGUCACGAUCCCUCUAGAAAAAUAAGAUGUGACAGUUGGUAUACUAUACAACACAAUACAUUACAACGCUGUCACGACCCGAUACUCCCUUCGAGCCCGUGACAACCGCCGCAAUGUCUCGAUAGACAUUCAUUACCCAGAAUGUCAACUGAAAUCUCGCAAGGCUCUUGCAUCAAUUUUACGUCUUCCCUGUGAGCAACAGUUACUAAAUAUCAUGUUUUAAAGGAAAAUAAACUAUUUUUAAAUCAAAACAAACAAAAAGUAAUUUUCACCACACAGGGGUAUUUUGGUCAUUUUUACUUGAAAAUUUUGAAACUUGGUGAAUAUAAAGCAUACGAUCGAAAAAUAUACAUUUCUUAUCUAAAAAUAAUUUUUGUAAUCUAAAUCAUCCAUUUAAAAUGAAAUUAUGGCUAAUCAAACUAAAUAAAAAUAUUAAAUAAAAUAUUCUAUUUUCUUAUAAAACAAUAUUUAUAGAAUCCUGCAUAAACAAUUUUUGUAGCAUAAGAGUAAAAUAAAUUCAUAUCUAUAAUAGCACACUAAACCAGGUAUACAAAAAAAUUCUAAAAUGACAUGUGGGCCUCAAAAUAACAAAAAUAAACAGGACUGUAGACCUAUGAUUUCUAAGGGUGCAAAUCCAAAAUAAACCCUCAACAAAAUUGACUGUCUACAGACUGCUCUAAACCUGAAAUGGGGGAAAAGAAGGGGGUGAGUUUUUAUAAACCCAGUGAGUAAGCAAAGUUCAUCUAUAACAUCUAAAACCGAGUAAAUGGAGACAGUUAAAUCAUCCCAUCAUAAUAUGAUUCAUAACAUUUAAAACUCAUUUCAAUUCAUAUAAAUCAAUUACAUUUCAUCAAAAUAAUCAACAAGGCUUAUGAUUCUCUUAAAAACUUGGCUUGUGCCAAAACUCGUACUAGGUGACACCUUGGCCCGGGCAUUCAACCGAGUCUGCCAAGGAUGUAAAAAUGACAUAUGCCCAUAAAACAUAUUUUUACUUUUAAAAUAUGGCCAUUCCUUGGCGUUGGUUGAGUUUCAUCCUCACGUGGUGGUUCGGCGUGAAGUGAACUCUAAACUUACCUUAGGAGAUACCUUCCGCGCCUCUCAUACUAAGGUAAAAUAUAACGGGGUUUAUCGUACCCCUCUAAUAGGCUAGUCCAUGGAAACCCGCCCACUGUAGUAAGCUAAUCAAAUAACCCACCAAAUCAAUAAAAAUUUCGACAGCAUGACAUGGCUAAUAUGAUAUUACCCAGCCUGUCAAGGUAAAACAAAACAAUCCAUAUAAUCCACAAACCACAAGUCUAGCCAUUCAUGCCAUCACAUUGUCAUAAGCCAUCAAUUCAAACCAUAUAUAUAUAUAGAUAACACAAGUAUAUAGUCUCCACUUACUCAAUUUCCAAAAUCAUUAUUGAAUUGCAAAAAAUUUAUAAAUCUCACUCAUUUAACCCACACUUAACUUAUAAAACAUAAAAAUCUACGGUUUAAGUUUAUUAUUCUUUAAAAUCAUAACAACGAAUAUAAACUACUUUAGAUAGUUAAGGUGAACAUUUAAUUACUCACAAUAGCGGGAGUUUGGAGUACUCCUAUUCUUGGUCCUCGGGUACGAUAUCUUUACCCUUAUCAGAGGGCUCACCACCUAUACAUAAUACACGACACGUAAUUCAAUAUAUUUGUGCCAAACUGUUAUAAAACUAUUUCAGGCUCUAUAUGAAAGCAUGAAAUUGAAUAAGAAUUGUUCGAAUAAUCACUUAAAGACGGUGUUCUCCGUGGGUUCAAUUAUGAUCGGACUGAAUUUGUAUUCGACCUAACUCAAACUAUACACUAAUGAAUUAACCAAAACAUCCGAUUUAACUUCAAAUAUAUUCAUUACACUUCCAAUAUUCCAAAUACACCAAAGUACCUCAAUGAGCUUGAUUGUGACUUAAUUCAUCGUAACCAAAAUUCAUUCCGAUUUUGAACUAACGUGCUAAUCAGUGUUAACACAGUUCAAUAAAUCCAUCUACAUCAUUAGGAAUCAAAUCCAAGUCCAUUUACUAAAGGAACUAUACUUUUCGAUAGCCGUUUUCGAUAUCUGAUACCAAAAAUCAUCAAUUACUAGCUAAAUAACAUGAAAUACAACAAAAUCCAUCAUCAACAUGUCAUUUAUAAAAUUCGACCAAAGAGGGUUAUUGAAGGGCAUCUGAUUUUCUUGCUUGUUUUUCAUGCCAAACAUCAUCAAACAACUAAAAACACUAAGAUAUCAUGAAAUCUAGCAAAAUCCAUCAUCAAAACCUCUCUCCCUAUGUUCGGCCAGCAAGUAUUCCCUCAUGGAAACUUGUGUUUCAUCCAUAGAAAAUGAAAAAGAAAGCAUGGGAAAGGUAGAUCUUAAGCUAAAAUUGAAAAAUCUUACCUUUGAUUGCUUUGUUCUUUGAAAUUCAACAAAUUUCUCUUGAAUUUUCCUCUCUAGGGUUUGUUUCUAUUCUUUUCUAUUUGUUCUUUGCUUUGGCCGACCAUGAAGAGUGAAAUGGGAGAGUUUAUAAAGAAAAUUAUAAAAAUAUUAAAAAUUGACAUGUGUCACCAUGUGAUUGGUCCAUGGUUAAAACUUAACAAUUAAGCAUUUUCUCACCACCACAUGUAAUCUCUUAAUUAUCCAAAGUAUAAAAUAAUAAUAGGUGAAAUUCAUGGGCUUGACAAGUGUUAUGGUGGUGUAAAAUUCCAAAAAUUCCAAUUACAUCCUCGUGGACACGUAAAAUGAUUGUUUUGCCCUUAUGUUCAAAAAAAUGUCAGAAUUAAAAUUUUUCAUUUCUCAAAUUCAAAUCAUGCUCCAAUUAGUCAAACUUGGUCAAAAAUUUCAUCCAACAUUCCCAUUUUGCCUUUACGUUAUGAAAAUUCCUAAUUUGACUCCAAAUUAAUCCUCAAACUCCGAAUCACCAUAUUAAAACAUUCUAAGGUUCAAUAACUCUCAAAUACAUCCUAAAAUCUCUAUUCAAACUAGUUUGAGGUUUUAAUCGACUUAAUUGUACCACUAGGUACGAUAUCGACUUUUAACUAUUCUCCGAGGCAUCCCAAUAUGUAGAUAAGCUAUCAAGUACAUUAAUGACAUGGGAAGUGUAUGAUAGAGCUGGGCUUGACAAACGCAAUAUAUAUAUAUAUUGCAAAUCACAUUAUUUUUCACUUCUACGUUACUCACAAGGUAGAGAAACAUCUCAAGUCGAGAAUCCUUAUGCAGGGGUAAAAUGUGAAUAUUUGAUUUUGAUCACUACUAAUUUAUCAUUUUUCUAAGUGUUGUUGCAACCACCCCUCCCUAGUCGCUACCAGCAUCCGAGACCUCCGGGAAAGACCCACCAAGUCCCGAACAAGCCUUACUCGAAAUGCCCGUUAGUUUACUACGUACAAUCACCAUUCCAUAUUGAUACUUAAAACAAUAUACUUUCAUAUCAUGACUUGAACCAUAAACAUAAUAAUUGAUUCAAGCUUUAAACCAUUUAAUCACAAGUUUAUACAUUGAAUCCACAAUCUCCAAUUAUUUACUUAUACCAAAAUUGUCACGACUCGAAACUCUCAUCGAGCCCGUGACAACCUCCGCGAAGCCUCGACAGACAUUCUUCACCCCGAAUACCGAUCGAAACCUCACAAGGCUCUCGUAUCAGCUUUCGCACUUCCUCGGUGAGCAAUAGUUAUCAAAUAUCACAUUUCAAGAAAUCAUAAGUCGUUUCCAAAUCAAAAUAAUAAAAUAUUAUUUUUUGGCUCAUAGAGUCAUUUUCGUCAUUUUUCUUCGAAAAUACUGAAACUCGCCAAAAACAAGAUGUGUGGGCGAAAAACACAUGUUUCAUAAUUAAAGUAAAUUUAGAUGUCUAAAAUAAUUAUUUGAAACGAAAUUAUAAUAGUUUGAAUAAAAUAAUAAUAUUCGAUAAAAUAUUCUAUUUUAAAAAAAAUAAUAUUUAUAGAAAAAUUCGUAAAUAAUUUUUGUAUUGUGAAAGCUAAAUAUAUUCAUACAUACUUUAAAGCAAAUAACUUAAGUAUAAAAUUUCUUUUACAGUGACACGUGGGCCCACAUCUAACCAAAAUGCAUCGAAAACUGAAAACCUACAGCUUUUGCCAAUUCAAGUCCAAAUGAAGGUCCUUGUCAAAGUCAGCUAACUAUGAAAUUUCCCGAGCCUGAAAUGUGAGGAAAUGAGGGUGGUGAGAUUAUAAAAUCCCAGUGAGUAAACAGACACCAUCUAAACUAUCUAAAGGCCAGUACAUGGAGACGAAUUAAAAUAUUCUUUUCCAAUAUAUGUUUCAUAACAUGAAUAUUCAGUUUACUCAAUUAAUCAACAUGGCUUAUAUAUCUCACAAAACUUGGCUCUUGCCAAAAUCACUUCCGGGGAUACUUUUACCAAUGUAAUUUGCUCACCACCUAUCCACAAUGUACAAUACAUAAUUCACCACAUUAAUGCUUGACCAUUAUAAAUCAAUUCAGGCUUGGUGUAUAUGCAAGAUAUGAUAUGCAACUUAUCCGACUAUCGCUUAAAUGCAGUGCUGACCUAAUUCGACCUAUUACCCGAUUAAAUGACAAUUGUGUCCGAUUUGGCUCCAAAUUGCUCCAUUGCAUUUCUAAUAUUUCAAUUCACUAAAUACAAUUCUAAUAAUCUAAAAUUCAGUCUAACAACCCUCACAAUUCUUCUUGAAAAUUUCGGCCAUUGUGGUGCACCAUCACUAAAAAUUUUCCCAUUCCAUUUUCUCACCAUAAAUCAUCAUUUCAUCAAUUUUUCAACCAAUUCACUUGAUCACAAAAUCAAUUCAUUACUUCUACACUUGACAUAGGAUUCGGCCAUUGAAGGUUCAUGGGGAAAAUGGAUUCUUUUCUUAUUGUUUUGUUUCUAAACACGCUUAACUAACUAAAAACACUAACAUAUCUUAAAAUUAAUUCAAUCCAACAUCUUUCUCUCUCCUUAUCCAUUUUGAACAGCCAUGAAUUCAUCAUGAAAACAUGUAAUUUAAGCAUGGAAAAUAAGGAGAAAUGCUUAAGGAAAAUAGAUUUCAAGCUUAAGUUGAAAAAUCCUACCUUUUUCACUUGUUUUCCUUGAUUUUUCACACUUUUUCUCUUGAAAUUCUUCACCUAGGGUUUGUUCUUCCUUCCUUUCCAUCUCUUCCUUGCUUGGCCAAAUAUUUAGAGAGAAAAUGGGCUGAUUUAUGCUGAUUUUUAAGUUAAAUAAUAAGAUAUCCUAAGCUUGACACAUGGCAUGUUUCCAUUGGUCCAUUUUUAAAACUUUAAAAAUUUUAAACCUUGUAUCUCCACCACAUGAUUAGUCAAAGGUCAAAAUGAGGAUAAGGGAAGACCAUGUGCUGGAAAAAUGUCCUGGUAGUGGAAAAUUACAAUUUUGCCCCUGGGUGACAAAAUUACCAUUUUACCCUUAUACUCCAAAUUAUACCGAAAUUAAAUUUUUUUCACUUAUAAACCUCAAAUCAUACUCCAAUACUCAAAUCAUACUUCAAUAAGUCAAAUGGGGCCAAAAAAAUCUUUUUUAAAACUCCCAUUUUGUCCCCAGGUGGCAAAUGACCAUUUUACCCUUAAAUAGUGAAAAUUUCAGUUUGACUCCAAAUUGAUCCUCGAACUCCAAAUUACCAUUUUGAGUCAUUCUUGGAUCGUGAAACUCUCAAUUUCACCUUAAAAUUCCUAUUUGAACUAGUUCGAGGCUUAAUCGACUUAAUGAUACCUUUAGGGGCAAUAUCGUCUUUUAACGAUUUUUUUCAAACUUCCUAAAUAUACAACCAUUCUAUUGAGCAUGUAAAUGACAUCAUAAUUAUUUUAUAGAACAGAGUUUGACAACACUACCCCCCUUAGAAUAAAAUUUUGUCCUCAAAAUUUCUCUUAUCAAAUUCCAAGGAAAUGUGGGGUAUUAUCUUUUUAUUCGAUACUCAACUUCUCCUGAUAUCUCCUUUAUGGGGAAUCUUAAUUCACUAAAAAAUCAUUCUUCAUUUUAGUUUAUCACAAUAUCAACCCCACAUAUGUGUAUAUGCCUUAUAAUCCCAUUUAUGUUUCCAUGAUCUAUCUUGAUUUAAUCAUCGAAUACGAUGCAGUAUCACAAUUCCUCAGAGUCAUCCCUUUGUCCUCAAUCAUCUUUCAUGCCUCUAUAUUGCUUUGUAUCUUGUAUUUCGACAUUAAUAUGUUGCUUAAGAUUUAAAUUCAUUUGAACUUGAUAUACCUCAGUAUUUUUAAGUUCUAAUUUUCACAAUAUAAUAAGAAAUUCUUACAACAAUAUUCUAUAUGAACUCAUUUACUAUAUUAUUCUUGAAACCUUUAUUUACAUUCUCCUCGUUUGAUAUUAACAUCCCUUGUCACUAUCUCACAUUUUAUCUAACUUUUCACUCACUUUCUCUAGGUUGAACUCGUGCUUCAUCUUCCGUUACAGCAAAAACUCUUGUCGAAGAACGAGUCUGUGGUCUAGAAGGUGGAUACACUAGAGUGUUACUUUCCACUCCGGAUUGUAUGGUCAUACCUGGCCUCUACUGUGAUUCAACCAAAUCUCUCCCUUGUAUAUUUGUACGAACUAGUGAGAAUGGAGCAGUUACAGUAGCUUGUCUUAAUUAGGGACAAUUACUCCUAAUGUGAUCGGGCUGAUCACAAUGAAAAUAUCGUACCAGCCCCUUGCACAGCCAUAAAUGAUAAUUCCCACACGUUUUCCAUCUAUCAAAACUUUGGGAUCUUUUCCCAGAAACAGUCAUCUCGGACCUACCGAAUCUUGGAGGCCUCUGCUGUGUCUAUGAAAAUGAAGGUUGGGAAGAUGUUACUAGAACAGAGGUAUUACUUCCUGAUACAUGUGAAUCCUUACCCUUUUUUGGUGGCUGGCUGAAGGAUACACUCGGAUUCCUCCUCUUUGCAAACUCAACUCGCAUUCUCCUAUUUUCAUUUGCGAGCUUCUCAGCCCUUAAAGCCAUUUGCACUACUUUCUUAUGUGACUCCUUGCCAGUCACUGUCAUUCACUCUCUAAUCUCAUUACGGAGCCCUUCCUCAAAAUAAUUGGCCUGAUCCUGCUCAGAUUUUACCAGAUCUGGCACAUAUAACAUUAGCUCGUUAAAACGAGCUUUAUACUCUUUUACCGUUAAAUUCCCCUAUUUCAAACUCAAAAAUUCUCUCUUCUUUUCUUUCUGAUGGAAAUAAGUGAAAUACUGACCAUCAAAUUCUCUUAGAAAGUUUGACCAUGUCUGAGGAGUAGUGGAACAGGAUUUUACUAAAUUCCACCAGGUACGAGCCCUCUUCUCUAGUAAUCUCGUAGCCACCAUUAGCUUCAUAUCGUUGUCUAAUCUCAUGUCAAAAAGAGUCUCUGAAACCUAGUUAAUCCAGUCUUUUACCACAGUGGCAUCCAGCUCACCCAUGAAAGACAUGCAACCAAGUUGCCUAGCGUCCUUCAGCUUCUUAGAAAUAGAUACAUCCUGUAUUGGCGGAACUGAUGGAGUAGUUGGAGGCACUAUAGGUGGAGCCUGACCAGUCUGAGCUUGACCAGCCAUUGCGGUAAAGAAGGUUGCUAAUGCUUGUGCCAUCUCAAGAGGCAUGGCAGGACUGCCAGUAGGUGGCGGAGGAGGUGGAUGUGGAGGACUCUCUGCCUGCUCAGCAACAGGUGCUACUCGAUAUGUGGAUGCAGCUGAUCCCUCCUCUACUGCCUCUUGCUAACGAGGUUGGGGACGACCCCUUCCUCUCCCUACUGAUCUAGUAACAGAUGGGCGUUCGCAUCUAAGAGGCAUAGUGAUCUAUACAAAGGAACAAGGCAAAUUUAAUCAACCUUAGACUCUAUAUGCAGAUGCGUGCAUUCUAUUCAACCUAACCUAUCUUAACUUAACUUAACUUAACUAGGGGCCAUGUCGUGUUAGUGUGGAUUUCUUAAAACAACUUUAAAAUCAAAAACUUUAAAAUCCAAAGCUUUCAAACUAAAAUCUCUGAUCUUUAAACCAUGCUCUGAUACCAAUUUAAUUGUCACGAUCUAGAACUCUCAUCGAGCCAAUGACAACUGCCGCGAAGCCUCGACAAACAUUCUCCACCCCGAAUACUGAUCGAAACCUCGCAAGGCUCUCGUAUCAGCUUUCGCACUUCCCUAGUGAGCAAUAGUUAUCAAAUAUCACAUUUCAAGAAAUCAUAAGUCGUUUCCAAAUCAAAAUAAUAUAAUAUUAUUUUUUGACUCAAAGGGGCAUUUUCGUCAUUUUUCUUCGAAAAUACCAAAACUCGCCAAAAACAUGAUGUGUGGGCGAAAAACACAUGUUUCAUAAUUAAAGUAAAUUUAGAUGUCUAAAAUAAUUAUUUGAAACGAAAUUAUAAUAGUUUGAAUAAAAUAAUAAUAUUCAGUAAAAUAUUCUAUUUAAAAAAAAUAAUAUUUAUAGAAAAAUCUGUAAAUAAUUUCUGCAGUGUAAAAGCUAAAUAUAUUCAUACAUACUUUAAAGCUAAAUAUCUUAAAAUCAAUUCAAUCCAACAUAUUUCUCUCUCCUUACCCAUUUUGACCAACCAUGAAUUCAUCAUGAAAACAUGUAAUUUAAGCAUGAAAAAUAAGGAGAAAUGCUUAAGGAAAAUAGAUUUCAAGCUUAAGUUGAAAAAUCCUACCUUUUUCACUUGUUUUCCUUGAUUUUUCACACCUUUUCUCUUGAAAUUCUUCACCUAGGGUUUGUUCUUCCUUUCUUUCCUUCUCUUCUUUGCUUGGCCGAAUAUUUGGAGAGAUAAUGGGCUGAUUUAUGCUGAUUUUUAAGUUAAAUAAUAAGAUAUCCUAAGCUUGACACAUGGCAUGUUUCCAUUGGUCCAUUUUUAAAACUUUAAAAAUUUUAAACCUUUUAUCUCCACCACAUGAUUAGUCAAAGGUCAAAAUGAGGAUAAGGGAAGACCAUGUGCUGGACAAAUGUCCUAGUGGUGGAAAAUUACAACUUUGCCCUUAGGGUGGCAAAAUUACCAUUUUACCCUUAUACUCCAAAUUAUACCGAAAUUAAAUUUUUUUCACUUCUAAACCUCAAAUCAUACUCCAAUACUCAAAUCAUGCUCCAAUAAGUCAAAUGGGGCCAAAAAAAUCUUUUCUAAAAUUCUCAUUUUGUCUCUAGGUGGCAAAUGACCAUUUUGCCCCUAGAUAGUGAAAAUUCCAAUUUGACUCCAAAUUGAUCCUCGAAUUUUGAAUUACCAUUUUGAGUCAUCCCUGGAUUGUGAAACUCUCAAUUUCACCUUAAAAUUCCUAUUUGAACAAGUUCGAGGCUUAAUCGACUUAAUGAUACCAUUAGGGGCAAUAUCGUCUUUUAAUGAUUUUUUUCAAACUUCCUAAAUAUACAACCAUUCUAUUGAGCAUGUAAAUAACGUCGUAAUUAUUGUAUAGAAUAGGGUAUGACAAAAAUCAAUAUCUGUUUACCACUUAAUGAACAAAGUGCUAUGACUCUACCUCUAACAGCGAAGCGACUUGGAAUAGAAUGUUAAGAGAUGCCUUUACCUAUAUGCAGUGGACCGAACGCGUCGAUGAUUACACACUAGGUUGAUCUCUAUCUGCAAAAGGGAAAAUAAAGGGGUGUGAGUCUCACAAACUCAGUGAUCAUCGGCUCCGUGAGUAAGGUGUAGAUGGGAAACAAGCAAUAAGGUAGAGAUUUUGAAUAUUAAAAAUUGCAAGAGUAGAUAAAAAAUAUUUUAAUUCAAACGGAGAUUUGUGCCUUAUAUAUAAAGAAAAUAACAUCCAGAAUUUCUUGUACGUUGUAAUUAGCCAAGAUGUAUAUCAAAUCAAGGUAAGUAAAAUUUUCAGCAUCGAAAUAGGUUAAUAAACAUUUUCAAAUCAAAUCAUUUCAAAUAUCAUUUUAAAUCUAGUGUACAUAAAAGAUAUCUGCCGUCAAAAUUAUUCACAUAUUAUUCCCAUCAAAUCAAUAAAAUUGAGCAAGCUCCCGCGAAAUCAAAUAUUAUUUAAAAUUAUUCACAAAUCAUAACUCGCCUCAUACGCAAGGAUUUAAAAUUCAUUUCACAAUAGAAAUAACAGAGCUGCGAAAAACUGUCUAGUUUUGUUUUCACCAUGCAAAGAACUACGAGUUUGAAAACCCAAAGAGAUUUUAGCCUCAAGUAAAAAAUCAAAUAAAGUCUAUGGUCCCACUACCACGUAAUAACAUCCAAAAGCCUCGCUCCACCAGAUCCCACAUGCCAUGGCAGUCUCAACGAUGUUGGCUGACAUCGGAGAAUCAAGUGGUCGCAAUCAUGUAAUCAUCUGGUGGCCUAGCCACGCAUACAUAUAUCACAGGCCGUGGCCCCCGUCACACCUAACCACCAGUCAGUGACCCAAGGGUUCUCUAGCUAGAGCUCACUUGUGCACGACGGUCACACUUAACCGAAGUGACAAUCAGCUUGUUCUCGAAUCUCUCGAUUUGUAAAACCAUUUUUGUAAUUUGUUAUAAGUUUAAAAGCUCGUCUCAAAAUUUUUUCCAAAGCAUUCAACAUAAGGUAUGAUAAAAUCUAUUAUCAUUUUCAUAAAAUAAAGUUGGUGCAUGAAUUUCGAAACAAUAACUCGCAUGGUGAAUAAGCAUUAUAAUCAUGAAUGCACACUACACAAAUAUAUAAGGCACAUUUUUUAUAUAAAUCAUCUUGAAAAGCUUGUUUCUCGGUUUACAACACUUUACGUAUAAUUUAUACAUAUAUAUUCAAAAAACGUUCGAAAAAUCAUAGCAAUUACAAAUUUCCUAGAAUUCUACCAACUCAUGCUUUCCACAAUUUUUGCAUGUAAAAUAAACUAUACGUGUAUAUAUAUAUAGACAUAAAUACGAGAAUUUUAAAAUAGACACCCCCUACUCACCUCACAAUAGCGGGAUACUACGUCGCUAUUUCUACUUGUCGAUCGCUCGUUACUUCCUCCGGCACGCCACUACAGUGCACUAUCUUUACUUUGGUACUUCCUAGCAACAAUUCAAACUCAAUAUAUUUAGUGCAUCAAUUCCACUUCUAUUUCUCAUUCUAUCAUUAUCCAUAUUCAACUAACUCACAUCUUAAUACAUUUUUACUAAAAUUACUUAUAUCCUUUUCUCACGUAAUUCUUUAGAUUAUAAACACCGGUAACUUAUUUAUGAUAUUAAGUGUCUACUUCAACCUUUCUAAGCAACUUCCAUCAAAUCCAUCUUAUAUUUUCAUAAUAUUAAUCACAUUUACGGCAACCACAAUCAUUUCAAAUCUACUCAAUUAUUUUCCAAUUUCCAUCCACAUUAUUCCUCCUUAUUUCUUCCAAAUAAUAUACCAUGCAACUUAACACUUCCAACUAACUUAUGCAAAUAGAUUCCUCCGACAACAAUAAUUCCUCACAAUGAACCAUUUCAAAAUUUCUUAACAAUAAUUCAUUUCAUAUUUUCCUAUUUGCUUUAAUCCUAUGAGAUAUCAUAAAAGAGUUUUUAAAUGUUGUAUUAAGGCAACUUAAAUGUACUUCAUAUCACCAAUAACCAAAGUUUAGUUAAACAAGAUGGGCUAGCCCCCAAACAGCCCAAUUUCAUAACAAACCCAUGGAAAAGAGCAAAGCAAUUUUACCAAAUUGGGCUAAGUUAGCCCAAGUCUCCACCAUUCUUCUCUCUUCUCUUGUUACUCGAUCAGUAGCUCCCAACCUUCUUUAUUGACAGCUUAUAUGUCCUCCUUCACUCUCUUUUUUGCCGUAACUUCCUCUCUUUGUUUCAAUCGAAUUUCUUUCUCAUACCGGCAACAAGAAUCUUUCUUUUUCCCUCUCAAAAUUGGCAGCAAGUUCCCUCAUUUCACCCUUUCAAAACUGGCAGCAAGUCCUCUCAUUUCUCUCUCUCAAAAUCGGUAGCAAGUCAACCCUCUUUUUCCUUCUUAAACCGACAGCAACUCAGCUCUUUUCUCUCACUCUCCAGCUGCCAUUUUUUCUACUCUCCCAUCAACACUCUUUCGCCCUUUUCUUUGCCUCACAAACAACACUAUCUAACUGCCAUUUUCUACUCUCUCACCAGCACUCUUUCACCCUUUCUCUUUGCUCCAUAAAUGGCUGUCGACAAAGCCAAGGGAGAAUAAUAUUUUUUUUUCUUUCUCACCAGCUCUCUCAUUCUCUUUGUCUUUAUCCAUGCCCGGCUGAUGCAAGAAAAAUAAAGCCAAAUGAAUUUUUUUUUCAUUAUAUGGUGUCACGACCCGAAACUCCCAUCGAGCUCGUGACAACCGCAGCGACGUCUCGAUCGACAUUCAUUACCCGGAAUGUCAAUCGAAACCCCGCAAGGCUUUAAUAUCAGCUUCUCAUUUCCCUUGUGGGUAACUAUUUCCAAAUACCACAUUCUCAAAGAUUUUAAACUGUUUCCAACUUAAAUAAAUAAAAUAAUAAUUUUCAUCUCACAGGGGUAUUUUGGUCAUUUAUCCCAAAAAUCUCAAAAUCAUCUAAAAAUAUAGUAUGUAAGUGGAAAACACAUAUUUCAUAAUCAAAAAUAAUUUUGGAUGUCUAAAACAUUCGUUUAAAAUGGUAUUAUGACUGUUAGAAUAAAAUAAAAGUAUUAAAUAAAAUAUUCAAUUUUCACACAAAACAAUAAUUUUAAUAACACUGCAUNNNNNNNNNNNNNNNNNNNNNNNNNNNNNNNNNNNNNNNNNNNNNNNNNNNNNNNNNNNNNNNNNNNNNNNNNNNNNNNNNNNNNNNNNNNNNNNNNNNNNNNNNNNNNNNNNNNNNNNNNNNNNNNNNNNNNNNNNNNNNNNNNNNNNNNNNNNNNNNNNNNNNNNNNNNNNNNNNNNNNNNNNNNNNNNNNNNNNNNNNNNNNNNNNNNNNNNNNNNNNNNNNNNNNNNNNNNNNNNNNNNNNNNNNNNNNNNNNNNNNNNNNNNNNNNNNNNNNNNNNNNNNNNNNNNNNNNNNNNNNNNNNNNNNNNNNNNNNNNNNNNNNNNNNNNNNNNNNNNNNNNNNNNNNNNNNNNNNNNNNNNNNNNNNNNNNNNNNNNNNNNNNNNNNNNNNNNNNNNNNNNNNNNNNNNNNNNNNNNNNNNNNNNNNNNNNNNNNNNNNNNNNNNNNNNNNNNNNNNNNNNNNNNNNNNNNNNNNNNNNNNNNNNNNNNNNNNNNNNNNNNNNNNNNNNNNNNNNNNNNNNNNNNNNNNNNNNNNNNNNNNNNNNNNNNNNNNNNNNNNNNNNNNNNNNNNNNNNNNNNNNNNNNNNNNNNNNNNNNNNNNNNNNNNNNNNNNNNNNNNNNNNNNNNNNNNNNNNNNNNNNNNNNNNNNNNNNNNNNNNNNNNNNNNNNNNNNNNNNNNNNNNNNNNNNNNNNNNNNNNNNNNNNNNNNNNNNNNNNNNNNNNNNNNNNNNNNNNNNNNNNNNNNNNNNNNNNNNNNNNNNNNNNNNNNNNNNNNNNNNNNNNNNNNNNNNNNNNNNNNNNNNNNNNNNNNNNNNNNNNNNNNNNNNNNNNNNNNNNNNNNNNNNNNNNNNNNNNNNNNNNNNNNNNNNNNNNNNNNNNNNNNNNNNNNNNNNNNNNNNNNNNNNNNNNNNNNNNNNNNNNNNNNNNNNNNNNNNNNNNNNNNNNNNNNNNNNNNNNNNNNNNNNNNNNNNNNNNNNNNNNNNNNNNNNNNNNNNNNNNNNNNNNNNNNNNNNNNNNNNNNNNNNNNNNNNNNNNNNNNNNNNNNNNNNNNNNNNNNNNNNNNNNNNNNNNNNNNNNNNNNNNNNNNNNNNNNNNNNNNNNNNNNNNNNNNNNNNNNNNNNNNNNNNNNNNNNNNNNNNNNNNNNNNNNNNNNNNNNNNNNNNNNNNNNNNNNNNNNNNNNNNNNNNNNNNNNNNNNNNNNNNNNNNNNNNNNNNNNNNNNNNNNNNNNNNNNNNNNNNNNNNNNNNNNNNNNNNNNNNNNNNNNNNNNNNNNNNNNNNNNNNNNNNNNNNNNNNNNNNNNNNNNNNNNNNNNNNNNNNNNNNNNNNNNNNNNNNNNNNNNNNNNNNNNNNNNNNNNNNNNNNNNNNNNNNNNNNNNNNNNNNNNNNNNNNNNNNNNNNNNNNNNNNNNNNNNNNNNNNNNNNNNNNNNNNNNNNNNNNNNNNNNNNNNNNNNNNNNNNNNNNNNNNNNNNNNNNNNNNNNNNNNNNNNNNNNNNNNNNNNNNNNNNNNNNNNNNNNNNNNNNNNNNNNNNNNNNNNNNNNNNNNNNNNNNNNNNNNNNNNNNNNNNNNNNNNNNNNAUUCUUGUUUUUUUUUUCCCCUUUUCUCCCCUGGUUUGGACAGCUGAAGAAGAUGAGAAUUCCGGAAUUUUUACCUUUUUAAAGGCUAAAAUAAUAUAAUAUUAUUUUAUUCAUUUUUUUAAUGUUUUAUUAAUUCCUUAAAUUCUAGCCAUCCAUUUGUUUCCAAAUUUUCACCAUACACUUGUCCCACAUAUCCAUAGCUUAGAUAAAAUUCUCAGACUUAUCCAAAGUCUUGGUGGAGUAAUUUUUUGAAAUUUACACUUUUACCCUCGUAAAAGUCAAAAAUUACAUUUUUGCCCCAAAAACUGAAAAAUUGCCCAUAGACAUAUUUUUCAUCCCUUAUACUCAUACUAUUCUCCAAUUUGUCAAAUUUGAUCUAAAUUCUCUCAAAAUCUCAAAUUUUACCCGCGGGUGGUAAAAUUACGAUUUUGCCCCUACACUCUUGAAAUCACUGGAAUUAAACUUUUUCACUGCCAAACCCUCAAAUUAUACUCCAAUAAGUCAAAUGGGGCCAAAAAAGAAAAAAAUUCUUUUCUAAAAAUUCCCAUUGCGUCCCUAGGUGGCAAAUGACCAUUUUGCCCCUACAUAGUAAAAAUUCCAGUUUGACUCCAAAUUCAUCCUCGAACUCCAAAUCACCAUAUUAAACCAUUCUGGGACUUUACUAUUCUUAAUUUCAUUUUAAAUUCUCUAUUUGAUCUAGUUCGAGACUUAAAUUAACUUAAUUGUACCAUUUGGUACAUUGUCGUCUUUUAACGAUUUUUCUUUCGCGACUUUUCAAGUAUGCAAGCAUAUUGUCAAUCAUAUGAAUGACAUGGAAAGUAUUUUAUAAGGUCAGGCUUGACAUAUGGGCUCAUUGUUGGGGGGAAGAAAGCUGACUUGUCUUGUCCCAUCACUCUUUCUUUUAUUUAUUUCAUUUCUUCCUUCAUUAUUUGCAUUAGUCGGCCCCCUACCAUUCUUUCUUCUCUUUCUUUUCUUUGUUCCAUGUGGUCGGCCCCUCCUUCAAAACAAGCUUUAACAUGGCUUUUGCUUCCCAUUUUAUUACACAUGGGCUGCUGAUCAAGUCAGCCCCCUCUUUUUUUUAUUUAUUUUUCAUGCUCCAUAUAUCAUUUAUAUUUUUAUUUAAUUAUUCUUUGGUCCAUUCGACACAUUUUAAAUUUCAAUUUCCUUUUAUCUUUCUUCCUCUACCCAUGUACCAUCAAAAUAUCGAAGUUGUACCUCAACACGGUAUUACCAUAAUAUUUAAAUAUUUACUUACCCGCACUAGUUCGAUUUAAUAAAAACACGCGUGUCUCACUUACAUUAUUUAUCUCCAAAAUUCGUUUGUGCUUCUUCUCCCCCACUUGGAUUGACCAUAAAAUCCCUCUUCACGACUAAUUCCAACGUCCAAUUAAAUAUUAAUUUUUUAAUAUUAUUUUAUUUCAAAAUUUUUCAUUUGUCUCCUUUGGUCUCGGAACAUCUUAUUAUGUCCCAAUUCACUUCCAAAUCAUCUUUUAACUUGAUAAUUCAUCUCCAACAAGGGUAUGAUUAUUUAAUUAUUAUUUUUGUACGUGCAAAAUAUUUUACUCUUAGGCAUUCCUUUCACCUUUUAUCGCUCUUUAGCACAUAAUUUCAUACCAAUUAGCCCUUCAUCUUACCGAGACGGUUACAUUGACUACUAUACGAGGGUACGGGGUGUUACAAUUUUCCUCACUUAAAUAGAAUUCAUCCCCGAAUUCAGGUCAACGUUGGUUCAUUAAUCCCACUAUAGGAUCUUAUUUCAUUCCUUCCUUUAUAAGAAAUUUUGAUUUUUAUCCAUCUCGUUUACCUUCAGUUUGAUCAUAAUACUUCAUUUAUGUUUAUUAUCAUCUUUUAGAAUCAAAUUGGAAAUAUCGUCUGCAAUCAUUAUCACUUAUCAUUUCGAUGCCGAGCGUGCCUUUAUCUCCAUCACUAACUUUAAACCAUAACUCUAUCUCAAUCAUUCCAAUUUUGAUCACAUAUUACAUUUAUGCAUACCUAAUCACCCUCUUAUUACUUCGUUCCUUGUCAAGCGUCUCGGCUUUCAUUCAUUCAUUUCAUCUCUGUACCAUAUUAGGUAGCUUACAACAUUAUAAACAUGCCAUAUUCAUUCUAGCACAUAUUCUCAACGUUGGGGGAAAAUUAAUGCCUUCAAUUAUCCCCACAUACUUCAUGUUUAUCUGGCACUUAUGUAAUUCCAGUCUUCUCCCUCUUUUCGUUAAUUACAUGUUCGAAGAUUCACACUUCUACAUCAUUCUUAAUUUAAUACAGUUCAAAUUAUGUGGAAAGGCAGUUCACUCAUUAAUCUUUAUCCUUAAUUACAAUUCUUUCUUUUGCCAUUAAAUCCCUUUCAGUAGUUCUAGUCCUUCAUGCUUUAAAAUGUAUUAUCCUUAUUAUGCUUUAAAACUUUUUGACCAUGCUUGACAAAAUUAGAUUUUAUCUUUCUUACUCAUUCUCACCAAGUAUUCACAUGAUACUACUAUCACCAUUUAUUCUUCAUUCAUUGCAUUAUUGCCGUAUAGAAAAUUCAGCAUAAUUAUAAAAUGACUCUUCAUUUAUUCUUGCAUCUAGAUCAUAUGAUUCCAUCUUGAGUACUAUUCGAAAAUUCUCUUCAUAACCACAUAGUUCAAUUUUCUAAUGAUAUCUCUUAUCAUUGUACCAUUUAUGCAAUUCUUCAGACAUAUUGUGUUCAAAACUCAAAUUACUAAAAAUAAUUCUUCACUUCCUCCACUUACAUACGCAACUCCACAUACAUAUAUAUAUAUAUAUAUAUAUAUAUUUAUUUAUUUAAACAUCAAUGUUCAUCACCGUGUGUAAGGACUCCUGUCAACUAUAUUCGAAUUGAAUUCCCUUUUUACUUUUCUCAUUUCCGACAUUUCUAAUUUAUCCUUCUAUUUCACUUCCAUAGAUCAUAGUUAGUCUGCGAACAUCAAAAUAUAAUCAAUUUCCAAUUUACUCUUUGGACAUUUAAGUUAUCAUUCAACUUACAUCCUACCAUACGUCAUCACUUAUAUGAUCCAUAUGAACCCACAUUAUGCUAAUGCAAAAUUUCACAUAAUUUACAAGCUUAAAUCUUUUCUUAUCAUUUUAAAUCAUAUGUAUAAGCUUCAUUAUACCAUGUAUCCUUGUAUCACAGCACCAUUAUCCACAUCUCAGUCACUGAAUAUUAUUUUCAUCCAAUUAUAUUUCAGUAUCCAUGUAUGCUUUACGAUCUUAUUGAUCCUUCAAUUCAUCUUUACUGGAUCACUGCAUCUUAUGCGAUCUCACAAUUCCUAAAAGUCACCUUCGUUUCUCAUUUAGCUUUUGUACUUUCAUCAUAUACGUCCUUAUUCAUUUCAAUAUUAGUCAAUCACUUAAGAUUUAGAUUCAUCAAGGUCAUGUACACUUCUUGCAUUCUUGAAUACUAAUUUCCACAUUAGGGAAUUUUCAUUAACUAGCUCCAUUAUCAGCAUUAUCUUUAAUCAUUUUGUACUAUUCCUUUACAUCAAUAUACCAUUACUUUCCCUUUAGCGUUUACACAAUCAAUGCUAAUAUUUAUAAAACUUAAUAUAGAUUUUACUUAAGUAUCCCUCGACACCAUCGCCAAUAUCCAAUUUCAAUUUCACAUCGAGUAACCUCAUAACUUAUGCUUUAACCAUUAAGCUCCUUGACAAUUCCAAGUUUCACAUUUCCUUAUCAUGUAUAUAAAAUAUGUUAAAGUACUAUUAACAAUUAUUCUUGACACUUGUAGUUCGGUGUAUUCAUUUCAAAACUCUUAUACAUUGUCGAACACUCAAUUACUUAUUUGCUCAUUAAUCCUUCAAACACAUUCAGUUCAAAAGCAUGCACUUAUUCUUUGAAAUAUUUUAAUGUAUUCUCAUCUAUUCAUACCUCAAUUUGUAUUCUUAGAUUUCUCAUACGCCACAUAUUUAACCUUAUUUUUAUUAUUACUCUCUUUUCUUUCGACUACAUCAAAAUAAGGUUGCAAUUCCUUUUAACGAUACUAUAAAUUAGUUCGUUUGUCAUACCAACCUCAUAAUCCUUCACAAUUUCCUCACUUGGUAUUAGUGUCCCUUUAUAUCUUAGUAUUCAUCUUUAGUCCACUUAAUAUUCCUCUUGAUUCUUCACAUUGUAGCUUACCUCAGUAAUUUUCCAAUUUCUCUUUUUUACUUUCAUGCCACGAUAUCUAAAUCAAUGAAGAAACCUUUCAGUUCACAUAAUAUUCUCGAAUUCAUUUAAACCUCCGUAUAAUAAUGUUCAGUAUCAAGGUCAUUGACACGAAUUUCAACUUGUAAAUUUAUUUUCAUACUUCACACACCUUGCUCGUGUGGCCAAAACAUGAGAUAUUCUUAAUGCUCUAACGUUGAACCGUUAACAUUACGGUAGUGUAACUAUUGAAAAUUUCUUUCAUAAGGAAGUUCUCUUACCUUUAAAAUUCAUGCAUUAUUCUCAUACUCUAAAUCCAGUCAAUACCUUUAAGCUUAUGUUAUCUUUUAGCAUUGAUCACUUAAACAAGUCUCACUUAAAGAUAUCCUUUCCAUAUGGUAUAACAAAUUUUCAAUUUCAUACUACCACGCAUAGUUAUUCAUCAUUCCUAGUGUUCCACAAUUCUUUUAAUAUUCACCACUUAUUGCCUUUCUUGUCACGACCCGGAACUCCCAUCGAGCCAGUAACAACCGUCGCGACGUCCCGAUAGGCACUCAUUACCCCGAAUGUCGAUCGAAACCCCGCAAGGCUUAGCAUCAGCUUCUGCAUCUCCCUAGUGAGCGAUAGUUAUUAAAUCUCACAUUUCAAAAAAAAUCAUAAGUCAUUUCCAAAUCAAAACAAUAAAAUAUUACUUUCUGGCUCACAGGGGCAUUUUCGUCAUUUUUCUUCAAAAAUACCGAAACUCGUCAAAAACAUGGUGUAAAAGCUAAAUAUAUUCAUACAUAUUUUAAAUUAAAUAACAAAAGAAUAAAAUUACUUUUACAGUGACACGUGGGCCCCCAACUGACUAAGAAAAUGUAGGGUUACGAACCCUUACUUUCUAAGAUGCAACUCCGAGAUUAAUUCUCGUCUUAAUCAACUAUCAACAAAUUGUCCUAAGCUUGAAAAAUGGAUAGGAAGAAGGGGUGAGAUUAUAAAAUCCCAGUGAGUAGACAGACAUCAUCAAAAUAAUCUAAAGUCGAGUAAUAGGAGACAAUUAAAAUAAUUCAUCACAACCCAUAUAAAUAAUUGGAUUUCAUCCAAUUACUCAACANNNNNNNNNNNNNNNNNNNNNNNNNNNNNNNNNNNNNNNNNNNNNNNNNNNNNNNNNNNNNNNNNNNNNNNNNNNNNNNNNNNNNNNNNNNNNNNNNNNNNNNNNNNNNNNNNNNNNNNNNNNNNNNNNNNNNNNNNNNNNNNNNNNNNNNNNNNNNNNNNNNNNNNNNNNNNNNNNNNNNNNNNNNNNNNNNNNNNNNNNNNNNNNNNNNNNNNNNNNNNNNNNNNNNNNNNNNNNNNNNNNNNNNNNNNNNNNNNNNNNNNNNNNNNNNNNNNNNNNNNNNNNNNNNNNNNNNNNNNNNNNNNNNNNNNNNNNNNNNNNNNNNNNNNNNNNNNNNNNNNNNNNNNNNNNNNNNNNNNNNNNNNNNNNNNNNNNNNNNNNNNNNNNNNNNNNNNNNNNNNNNNNNNNNNNNNNNNNNNNNNNNNNNNNNNNNNNNNNNNNNNNNNNNNNNNNNNNNNNNNNNNNNNNNNNNNNNNNNNNNNNNNNNNNNNNNNNNNNNNNNNNNNNNNNNNNNNNNNNNNNNNNNNNNNNNNNNNNNNNNNNNNNNNNNNNNNNNNNNNNNNNNNNNNNNNNNNNNNNNNNNNNNNNNNNNNNNNNNNNNNNNNNNNNNNNNNNNNNNNNNNNNNNNNNNNNNNNNNNNNNNNNNNNNNNNNNNNNNNNNNNNNNNNNNNNNNNNNNNNNNNNNNNNNNNNNNNNNNNNNNNNNNNNNNNNNNNNNNNNNNNNNNNNNNNNNNNNNNNNNNNNNNNNNNNNNNNNNNNNNNNNNNNNNNNNNNNNNNNNNNNNNNNNNNNNNNNNNNNNNNNNNNNNNNNNNNNNNNNNNNNNNNNNNNNNNNNNNNNNNNNNNNNNNNNNNNNNNNNNNNNNNNNNNNNNNNNNNNNNNNNNNNNNNNNNNNNNNNNNNNNNNNNNNNNNNNNNNNNNNNNNNNNNNNNNNNNNNNNNNNNNNNNNNNNNNNNNNNNNNNNNNNNNNNNNNNNNNNNNNNNNNNNNNNNNNNNNNNNNNNNNNNNNNNNNNNNNNNNNNNNNNNNNNNNNNNNNNNNNNNNNNNNNNNNNNNNNNNNNNNNNNNNNNNNNNNNNNNNNNNNNNNNNNNNNNNNNNNNNNNNNNNNNNNNNNNNNNNNNNNNNNNNNNNNNNNNNNNNNNNNNNNNNNNNNNNNNNNNNNNNNNNNNNNNNNNNNNNNNNNNNNNNNNNNNNNNNNNNNNNNNNNNNNNNNNNNNNNNNNNNNNNNNNNNNNNNNNNNNNNNNNNNNNNNNNNNNNNNNNNNNNNNNNNNNNNNNNNNNNNNNNNNNNNNNNNNNNNNNNNNNNNNNNNNNNNNNNNNNNNNNNNNNNNNNNNNNNNNNNNNNNNNNNNNNNNNNNNNNNNNNNNNNNNNNUAAAUAUUUGACUUUUAAUUCUUUAAUUCUCCACCACACAUUUCUCAUGUUUAUCCAUUUCCAUGAUGAAUAAAAUCCCUUGGUCUUGACAAGUGUCGGGGGUAAAAAUUUACCGAUUUGCCCCUGGGGUGGCAAAAUUACCAUUUCAUCCUUAUACUCCAAAUUAUACCGGAAUUAAAAUUUUUCACUUCUAAACUUCAAAUCAUACUCCAAUACUUAAAUCAUACUCCAAUAAGUCAAAUGGACCAAAAAAAAUCAUUUCUAAAAAUUCCCAUUUUGUCCCCAAGUGGCAAAUGACCAUUUUACCCCUAGAUAGUGAAAAUUCUGAUUUGACUCCAAAUUGAUCCUCGAACUCCGAAUUACCAUUUUGAGUCAUCCAUGAACUGUGAAACUCUUAAUUUCACCUUAAAAUUCUUAUUUGAACUAGUUCGAGGCUUAUUCGACUCAAUGGUACCAUUAGGGGCAAUAUCAUCUUUUAACGAUUCCUCGAACUUUCUAAAUCUGCAAACAUUCUAUUGAGCAUGUAAAUGACGUCGUAAUUAUUUUAUGGAAUAGGGUUUGACAUUUCUUGUCUUGCAACUCUUGUAAUUCAACCAUUUCAACUUAAAAUUGUCAUGAAACUUGUCCAUCCUAAUCAUUCUCCUUGUGUUCACAUUAUUAUUUCAAAAGUUAAGAGGCUAUUAUUUCCCUAUUUUCACCAUCGCUUCUAAUGAUGUAUAUUAUGUCAAUUAUCUUCACCUAAAAUCAAGGCACUCUAUGCCUCCAUCCCAUCAACAUUCAUACCCCACAAGACAUGGUUAAGAAACUCAUAGACUUUUACCUAUGCUACUCUCAUUCAACUGUGCAUAACCAAUUCCAAACAUUCAAGCAAAUCAUUAAUUUAACUACCAUAUAUCCAAUUUGAUUCACACGAGAUUAACCACAUCCAAAGUUUUCCAAACACAUAAUUUACAACUAUAUUUUAGUUCAACUACAUCCCACAGUCUCACAAUCCUUCUCCUUUCCUUGAGGAUAUAUAAUCUCAAGAGUAUCGCUAUUUGAGCUCGUACUUGCCGACUUGUCUUGUCCCAUCACUCUUUCUUUUAUUUAUUUCAUUUCUUCCUUCAUUAUUUGCAUUGGUCAGCCCCCUACCAUUCUUUCUUCUCUUUCUUUUCUUUGUUCCAUGUGGCCGGCCCCUCCUUCAAAACAAGCCUUAACAUGGCUUUUGCUUCCCACUUUAUUACACAUGGGCGGCUGAUCAAGUCAGCCCCCUCCCCCUUUAUUUAUUUAUUUAUUCAUGCUCCAUAUAUCAUUUAUAUUUUUAUUUAAUUAUUCUUUGGCCCAUUCGACAUGUUUUAAAUUUCAAUUUCCUUCUAUCUUUCUUCCUCUACGUGUGUACCACCAAAAUAUCGAAGUUGUACUUCAACGCGAUAUUACCAUAAUAUUUAAACAUUUACUUACCCGCAAUAGUUCGAUUUAAUAAAAACACGCGUGUCUCACUUACGUCAUUUAUCUCCAAAAUUCAUUUGUACUUCUUCUCCCCCACUUGGAUUGACCAUAUAAUUCCUUUUCAUGACUAAUUCCAAGAUCGGAUUAAAUGUUAAUAUUUUAAUAUUAUUUUAUUUCAAAAUUUUUUACUUGUCUCUUUUAGUCUCGGAACAUCUUAUAAUGUCCCAAUUCAUUUCCAAAUCAUCUUUUAACUUGUUAAUUCAUCCCUAACAAGGGUAUGAUUAUUUAAUAAUUAUUUUCGUACGUGCGAAAUAUUUUACUCUUGGGCAUUCUUUUCACCGUUUAUCUCUUUUUAGCACAUAAUUUCAUACCAAUCAGCCCUUCGUGUCCAUUGAUCCUUCUUUAGCACUAAGGCGACCUUUUCCUUUCUUCCCACAAUUGCUCAUGUUGUCGCAGGGGCACCUUAAGACCUACAUACAAACAUGCAUUAAUUCUUAACCUCUUACGUAUUAUGAUAAAGGUAGGUUUUUAAAGGAAUAAGAGUUUAUGUAGCCUCCUUCCCUUGAUUCGUGUUACGCACCCACAGACCAAGGAUAGAACUUUACACUAACUCUAACAACUCUGCUGAUAAACAUAGAAAAUCUUAAGACUCAGCUAAACCUAGGGCUUUGAUACCAACAUUGUAACGACACUUCCUCGAUCGCUACCAGCGUCCGAGACCUCCGGGAAAGACCCACCAAGUCUCGAACAAGCCUUACUCGAAAUGCCCAUUAGUUUACUACAUACAAUCACCAUUCUAUAUUGAUACUUAAAACAAUGUACUUUCAUAUCAUGACUUGAACCAUAAACAUAAUAAUCGAUUCAAGCUUUAAACCAUUUAAUCACAAGUUUAUACAUUGAAAUCCACAAUCUCCAAUUAUUUACUUAUACCAAAAUCAAUAUCUAUUUACCACUUAAUGAACAAAGUGCUACAACUCUACCUCUAACAGCGGAGUGACUGGGAAUAGAAUGCUAGGAGAUGCCUUUACCUAACUGUAGUGGACCGAACGCACCGAUGAUUACACGCUAGGCAGAUCCCUGUCUGUAAAAAGGGAAAUAAAAGAGUGUAAGUCUCACAGACUCGGUGAUCAUCGGCUCCGUGAGUAGGGCAUAGAUGGGAAACAAGCAAUAAGGUAAAGAUUUUGAAUAUUAAAAAUUACAAAAGUAGAUAAAAAAAUAUUUUUCUUCAAACGGAGAUUUAUGCUUUAUAUAUAUAUAUAUAUAAAGAAAAUAACAUCAAGAAUUUCUUGUAAGUUGUAAUUAGCCAAGAUGUAUAUCAAAUCAAGGUAAGUAAAAUUUUCAGCAUCGAAACAGGUUAAUAAGCAUUUUCAAAUCAAAUCAUUUCAAAUAUCAUUUUAAAUCUAGUGUACGUAAAAGAUCUCUGCCGUCAAAAUUAUUUCACAUAUUAUUCCCGUCAAAUCAAUAAAAUUGAGCAAGCUCUCGCGAAAUCAAAUUUUAUUUAAAAUUAUGCACAAAUCAUAACUCACCUCAUAUGCGAGGAUUUAAAAUUCAUUUCAUAAUAGAAAUCAGGGAGCUGCGGAAAACCAUCUAGUUCUAUUUUCACCAUACAAAGAACUACGAGUUUAAAAACCCAAGGAGAUUUUAGUCUCAAGUAGGAAAUCAAAUAAAGUUCGUGGUCUCGCUACCACGUAAUAACAUCCGGGAGCCUCGCUCCAUCGGAUCCCACAUGCCAUGGUAGACUCAACGAUGUUAGCCGACAGCAGAGAAUCAAGCGGUCGCAACCGCAUAAUCAUCUGGUGGCCUAGCCAUGCAUACACAUAUCACAGGCCGUGGCCCCCCCCACGCCUAACCACCCGUUUGCAACCCAAGGGUUCUCUAGCUAGAGCUCACUCGUGCACGAGGGUCACACCUAACCGAAGUGAUAACCGGCCUACUCUCGAAUCUCUUGAUUUGUAAAACCAUUUUUGUAAUUUUUUAUGUCUUUAAAAGCUCGUCUCAAAAUUAUUUCCAAAGCAUUCAACACAAAGUAUGAUAAAAUCUAUUAUCAUUUUUAUAAAAUAAAGUUGGUGCAUGAAUUUCGAAACAAUAACUCGCAUGGUAAAUAAGCAUUAUAAUCAUGAAUGUACACUACACAAAUAUAUAAGGCACAUUUUUUAUAUAAAUCAUCUUGAAAAGCUUGUUUCCCGAUUUAAAACACUUUACGUAUAAUUGAUACAUAUAUAUUCAAAACACGUUCGAAAAAUCAUAACAAUUACAAAUUUCCUAGAAUUCUACCAACUCAUGCUUUCCACAAUUUUUGCAUGUAAAAUAAACUAUAAGUAUAUAUAUAUAUAUAUAUAUAGACAUAAUUACGGGGAAUUUUAAAAUAGACACCCCCUACUCACCUUGCAAUAGCGGGUUACUACGUCGCUAUUUUUACUUGUCGGUCGCUCGUUACUUCCUCCGACAUGCCACUACAGUGCACUAUCUUUACUUUGGUACUUCCUAGCAACAAUUCAAACUCAAUAUAUUUAGUGCAUCAAUUCCACUUCUAUUUCUCAUUCUAUCAUGAAUCCAUAUUUAACUAACUCACAUCUUAAUACAUUUUUACUAAAAUUACUUAUAUCCUUUGUUCACGUAAUUCUUUAGAUUAUAAACACCGACAACUUAUUUAUGAUAUUAAGUGCCCACUUCAACCUUUCUAAGCAACUUCCAUCUAAAUCCAUCUUAUAUUUUCAUAAUAUUAACCACAUUUACGGCAACCACAAUCAUUUCAAAUCUACUCAAUUAUUUUCCAAUUUUCAUCCACAUUAUUCCUCCUUAUUUCUUCCAAAUAAUAUACCAUGAAACUUAACACUUCCAACUAACUUAUGCAAAUAGAUUCCUCUGACAACAAUAAUUCCUCACAAUGAACCAUUUCAAAAUUUCUUAACUAUACUUAAAACACUAUUCAUUCAUUUCAUAUUUUCCUAUUUGCUUUAAUCCUAUGAGAUAUCAUAAAAGAGUUUUUAAAUGUUGUAUUAAGGCAACUUAAAUGUACUUCAUAUCACCAAUAACCAAAGUUUAGUUAAACAAGAUGGGCUAGCCCCCAAACAGUCUAAUUUCACAACAAGCCCAUGGAAAAGGGCAAAGCAAUUUUACCAAAUUAGGCUAGGAUUGCCAAGUCUCCAACAUUAUUCUCUUUCUCUUUUUCUCUCUUCUCUUGUUACCCGAUCAGUAACUCCCAACCUUCAUUAUUGACAACUUACACGUCGUCCUUCACUCCCUCCUUUGUCGCAACUUCCUCUCCUUGGUUCAACAGAAUUUCCUUCUCAAAUCGGCAACAAGACUCUUUCUUUUUCCCUCUCAAAACUGGAAACAAAUUCCUUCAUUUCUCCCUCUCAAAAUCGAUAGCAAGUCCACUCAUUUCUCCCUCUCAAAACUGACAGCAAGUCAGCCCCCUUUUUCCUCCUUAAACUAUCAGCAACUCAGUUUUUUUCUCUCAUUCUCCAACUGCCAUUUUUUUUGCUCUCUCACCAGCACUUUUUCUCCCUUUUCUUUACCUCAUAAACAACUCUAUCCAGUUGCCAUUUUCUACUCUCUCACCAGCAUUCUUUCUCCCUUUCUCCUUGCUCCAUAAAUGGCUGUCGAUAGAGCCAAGGGAGAAUAAUAAUUUUCUUUUCUUUCUCACCAGCUUUUUCACUCUCAGUCUUUAUCACAAGCCUGGCUGAUGCAAGAAAAAUAAAGCCAAAUGAAUUUUUUUUUUCAUUAUAUGGGCUGCAUUGUUAGGGGGAAGAAAGUCGACUUGUCUUGUCCCAUCACUCUUUCUUUUAUUUAUUUCAUUUCUUCCUUCAUUAUUUGCAUUGGUCGACCCUUACCAUUCUUUCUUCUAUUUCUUUUCUUUGUUCCAUGUGGCUGGCCCCUCCUUCAAAACAAGCCUUAACAUGGUUUUUGCUUCCCAUUUUAUUACACAUGGGCGGCUGAUCAAGUCAGCCUCCCCUUUUCUUAUUUAUUUAUUCAUGCUUCAUAUAUCGUUUAUAUUUUUAUUUAAUUAUUCUUUGGUCCAUUCGAUACAUUUUAAAUUUUAAUUUUUUUCUAUCUUUCUUCCUCUAUGCAUGUACUAUCAAAAUAUCAAAGUUGUAUUUCAACGCGGUAUUACCAUAAUAUUUAAAUAUUUACUUAACCACGUUAGUUCGAUUUAAUAAAAACAGGUGUGUCUCACUUACGUCAUUUAUCUCCACAAUUCAUUCGUACUUCUUCUCCCCCACUUGGAUUGACCAUAUAAUCCCUCUUCAUGACUAAUUCCAACAUCCGAUUAAAUAUUAAUAUUUUAAUAUUAUUUUAUUUUAAAAGUUUUCACUUGUCUCCUUUAGUCUCAGAAGAUCUUAUUAUGUCGCAAUUCACUUCCAAAUCAUCUUUUAACUUGCUAAUUCAACCCCGACAAUGGUAUGAUUAUUUAAUUAUUAUUUUCGUACGUGCGGAAUAUUUUACUCUUGGGCAUUCCUUUCACCUUUUAUCACUCUUUAGCACAUAAUUUCAUACCAAUUAGCCCUUCGUCUUACCGGGACGAUUACAUUGACUACUAUACGAGAGUACGGGGUGUUACAGUUGUUUUACAACAAGCAUAAUGCAAUAUAUAGAGCAAUGUAAAUAACCAAAACAAAUAGAAUAACUAUAUCAUGUAAACAAAAAUGAAAUUAACCUACAACAAGUAGUAGGAUUCAUGGGUUAGUUUCACUUCUCAUAUAUAAAGAUCGUUAAGAGGUUUUCAUCUUAACCUUUUUUUGAAGUACAAGUACUUUUACCUCUCACCUUUUAAUCAAAAGCAAGUCUUAUUACACCAUUAAUGAUAAUCUAUUAGAAAAUCCACUACUUUUAAUGGCUACAUAAUGGGAUUUCAAUCAUUGUUACUCAUUAUAUACAUUAAAGCUCUCUUCAGUAACUAUUGCAUACUAUGUACAUCAAAGCUCUUUUCGAUAUUGUUACUUAUUAUAUAAUUAAAACUUAUUCUUAAAUAACUAUUUUUUAUACUUUAUAUAUAAAGUUUUGACAAUUCAUUUUCAUGUAACAAGAUUUUCUAAAGAUAGGCAAUUAGACUUCACACACUCUCUCAAAUUCUCUAGUACUUAUCCCUUCUCCUCUUAUUCUCAACUUACUUUGUCCUUAUUACCUAUUCUCAACACUUUCUCUACCCUACCCUUAGCCUUACUUUAUCACUUACCUAUUCUCUUUAAUCUGGCAUAAGACUUAGUAUUUUAAGAAUUGUUUCAAUCUUUUUUUAUGCUACUUCCAGCAUGUAUUUUUACUUAUUUACAAUUCUACCUCUUCUUAUACAAGAACCCCUUUAUAAUAUUUAUGUGGAUGUAACUCCAACUUUUAUCCUGUUUUAGGAGUUAAUUAUCUUUGAUUUGUAGAUUUGUAUGGCUAGUAUAUAAAUAAAAUUUAUCUUUAUGAAAAAUAAAAUUGCAGCAUAGUAAGAAAAAAGGUUAAGAAUGUAAAAAUUUUAUAAUUGGGGCCUGAAAUCCGUAGGCAACAUAGGAUCCAAAGAAUCUUGGGAAAGUGGUCGGUCUAGAACUCACCUGCAGUAAACAAGUGCUGGAACCACCACUCCAUCUAUCGGAGGAAAACGUGGGGAAAAUGAUAUUUUAUUCUCACAACUGGAAGGAAACCUCGACAACGUUAAGCAUGGUUUCUGUCUUUAUUAGGACAAGUCCAUCCACGUUGUAAUGAAAAGUAAAUAUCAAAUCAAAUAUAAAAUGUUAUAAACAUUUCAAAAAAAUAAUGAAGAAAUGAGUGGAUGAUGAUUUCCCAUAUGAGAGAUAGGAAGGAGCCAUCCUACUCAUCUUAUCCUUUCUUUUCUCCUAUGCUCAAAAAUAUUUUAUAUUAAAUUUAUGUAUAAAGAGAAUUCAUCAAGCCACAUGUGCAAAAAUAAAGAAAAAAUAAAUUUACAUGCACAUGAUAAGAAACCAUAUCGUUUCAAAGUUCUAAAUGAAACACUAUUUAUAAUAGUGAUUAAAUCUGGAUUCUAACAUUCAUAACUGUAAACUAUUUAGACAAUCAAAUUAAACAAUAUGCUAACAUAGCAUUAAAAUUCUAAUAUAGCAUUUAAUACCAUUUAUGCAAUGGGAGGUAUUUGUAUUUGACUUAAAUCCUAUGAAAGAACCAAUCUUAACUAGUUAAACAUUUUUAAUUGAAAGUUAUUGAAUUGAAAUUCGUAUUUAUAAUUUGGCUAAAUUUUAUUAAUAUUUAUAAUAAUUAAAAUUAUUUAAAAUGACAAUUUUGAAAUAUAAAUAUAAAAAAUUUCAUUAAUAAAAGAUUUUAUCAAUAUUUUUCCUUUUUUUAUAUUUUAUAGAUUAUAGAUUAUAAAUACUUGCCACCUUAGAACACAAAAUUAAUUUUAAAAAAUUAAUCUUAAAAUUUUAUUUCAUUUAUAAAUUUUAUUAAUCUAAAAUAAAUAAAUAAACCCCUACACUAUCUCAAAUAUUCUAAAUAAAAACUUAUACUUGUGUUGCAACUAAUAAAACCCUCAUUGUAUUUUUUUUCAUUGUUGGAGCCCUUACUAGACAGAAUGAUGAAGUAGGCAGAACGUUAGUUAAGUCUCUUCACAAUGUGAAAUUUAUUUGACAAUUGGACAAAUGACAUCGAAAUAACCCUUAAAUGUCGUGACAAUUCUUUUAUGAUAUAAUGCUUAAAUAAAUUCUUAAACUAUUGAAGAAUAUUUAAAUAAGUAUUUAUUAUUUUAUUACGUUUAAUCAAGUCUCCGUAUUUUUAUUUUAAAUUAAAUAAGCCUUUAUGACUAAUGAUUGGUUAAUUACUAUUAGUAAAAAUGUCACUUGUUAUUUAAUGUCCUCCUAACAUUGAUAUGACAUUAAUGUGAAAAGUAAAAAAUAACACAUGAUUAAGUUAUUAUGCAAAUGAGCAUGUCAUAUCAUCAUUAAUUAUGAUAUGUCAGCAUGCCACAUCAUAAUCAAUUAUAAUAUUUUAGCAUGCCACAUCAAUAUCACUGAUAUAGAAUAACAAAUGACAUUUUAACUAAGUCAAUCAUUAGUCAUAAAAACUUAUUCAACUCAAAAUAAAAAGGACAAGGAUUUCUUUAACUCAAAAUAAAAGUACUAAAGCUUGAUUGAACGCAAUAAAAGUAUAAGGCUUAUUUGAAUUUUCUUAAAUAAUUUAAAGACUUUUUUGUAUGUUAUGCCAUUUUAUUAUUAUUAUAUUUUCAUCUCCAUUUUUUCUCUUUUCUUUCUCUGUCUCCUUCCACUUUGUUUGCCAACUGACUAGCCGUUCGUUGCUUGAUUUUCAUAUCGGUGACUCUAAACGUCGGAUUUGGCCCUACAAUGUUAUAGGAGGCUGUUAGAAGCUAGAAUAGUUGGAUUUGGUCAUAUUUCAGUUUCUCUUUUCAAAGUCUCUUUCCUUUGAAAAGUACACAAAUAAAGUAAGUAACUAAAUCCAAAUUAACAUUGAUUCUUGUAUUUUUCUAAAAGAAAAAUAGGAAACUCAUACAUUUAAAUACCCAGACCCAAAUAAGAUUCAAUUGUUUCUCAUAUGAAGAAAAAUAUAUUAAUGAUAUUAUAUAUAAAUAAAUUUAUUGACAAUGAGAAAAUUACUAAACAAAAAAAUUUAAUCUUUACUUGAGUUAAAUUUAUAAAUUUAACUAAUUAGUAUAUUUAUUUUAGUACUAACUCAAUCAUAUAAAAAAUUUAUCAAUUAUAAUCUUUUAAGAAAUUCUUUUAGUACUUAUAUAUUCAAAUAACCUAUCAUAAUUUUAGAGUACAAAAAAUCGAGUACUUAUUCACAUAAAUUAUCAAAUCGAAGUAAUACUUAUAUACUUAUUAUUUUUUGUUUAUUCUAGUAUGUAUUAAUUCAAAUGAAUGUAUGCAUUAUUUUCCUUUAAUAGUAUAACUUAGGAAAAAUAGUUUACAUUAAUAAAGUGGGAAAUUAUUAUACCAAAAACUUAUAUGUAUAAAUAAUGUAGAAAAAUAAAAAAUAAAGAAACUAAAAGAAAAAGCAUUAAAAAGGAUAAAGAAAAGAAAGAAAAGGAAGAAAUAAGAAAAAGGAAAUUGUUAGAAAAAUAGUGUUUUGUGAGAGGCAAAGUGUCACGAUUCACACCAACCUAGAGUUAUUAUUCGUUUUGGCUCGAUGGCCUUAUGGUUUUGUCUCACAGGUUAAAGAUAAUGUGAACCUUUAAAUACCCAGUCUUACUUUAAUACCAUAGUCAAUGUGAGAUUCAUGGCUCUUCUUUGGGACCAUGACAUCUUCCCUUGAUGCCUUUGUAACGACCCCUCCUCGAUCGCUACCGGCGUUCGAGACCUCCGGAAGAUCCCGCCAAGUCCCGAACAAGCCUUAAAGAAAUUUCUCAAUAACUCAUUGUACACUUUUACUAAACCGUAUUCAUGCUUGAACCAUAUAUAUUUAUAACAUGAAUUCAACAAUAAGCAUAGCCAUUAAAUUUUUGACUUUAAGUCAUGACAGCACAAUUACAUACCUUGAGUUCAAAAAUCUCAAAUUUAUGAUUAUAUCAAAACUAAUAUUUGUUCACAUAGUAAAACCAGAGUACUACAACUCAACCUCUAACAGCAGAGCGACUCGGGAUAAAAUGUUAUGAGAUGCCUUUACCUAUCUGCGGUGGACCAUACACACCGAUGAUUACACGUUAGGCCAAUCCCUGUCUACAAAAGGGGAACUAAGAGGGGUGUGAGUCUCACAAACUCAGUGAUCAUCGACUCUGUGAGUAGGGCGUAGAUGGGAAACAAGCAAUAAGGUAAAGACUUUGAAUAAUAAAAAUUGCAAGAUAGAUAAAAAUAUUUAAUUCAAACGAAGAUUUGUGCCUUAUAUAUAUAAAAAAAAAUAUCGAGAAUCUCUUGUAAGUCGUAAUCAACCAUAAUAUAUAUCAAAUCAAGUAAGUAAACUUUUGUGCAUCAAGAAGGUUAAUAACCAUUUUCAAACUAAAUCAGUAAAAUAUCAUUUUAAACCUCGUGUUGUAAAAGAUCUCUGUAGUCGAAAUUAUCUCAUGUAAUACUCCAAUCAAAUCUAUAAAGUUAGGCAAGCUCCCGCGAAACCAAACAGUAAUCAGGUUUAUACACAGUUCAAUAAAUCACCUCGCACGCGAGGGUAAAAUUCAUAUAACAGUAAAACCAGGGGGAGUUGCAGAAAACCGUAUAAUUUCGUUUUCACCAUGCAAGAAAUAAGAGUUUGAAAAUCCAAAGAGAUUUUUAUCUCGAGUAAAAAAUUAAAUAAAAUCCAUGGUCCCAUUACCACUUAAUAACCUCGGGGAGCCUCGCUCCACCAGAUCCCACAUGCCAUGGCAGUCUCAACGAUGUUGGCCGACAUCGGAGAAUCAAGCGAUCGCAACCGCAUAAUCAUCUGGUGGCUUAGCCAUGCAUACAUAUUUCACAAGCCGUGGCCCUCGCCACGCCUAACCUCUCGACAGCGACCCAAAGGUUCUCUAGCUAGAGCUCACUCGUGCACGAGGGUCAUACUUAACCGAUGUGACAUCCAGCCUACUCUUGACGCUCUCGAUUUAUCAAAAACGUUUUAAAAAUCACAUUACAUCCUUAAAAAUUCAUGUCAAAAAUAUUUCCAAAGCAUCCAACAUUGGGUAUUAUAAAAUCUAUCAUUUUCUCAAAAUAAAAUUUAUGCAUGAAUUUCAAAACAAUAAUUUGCAUGGUGAAUAAACAAUAUAGUCAUGAAUGCACACUGCACAAAUGUAAGCCACAGAUUUUGAUGUAAAAUAGUGUGAAGGGUUUGUUUCUCGAUUUUCAAAACACUUCACAUAUAAUUUAUACAUAUAUAUUCAAAACAAUUUCUGAAAAUAAUUUGCAUUCACAAUUCCCUAAAAUUUCUACCAGCACAUGCUAUCUAUAAUUUUUGUGCUUAACGUAAAAUAUACGUACAUGUAUAUAUAUAUACGAAAAUUUUAAAAUUGACACCCCCUACUCACCUCACAAUAGCGGAAUAUUACAUCGUUAUUUCUACUUGCCGGUAGCUCGUCACCUGCUCUGGCACGUCGUUAUAGUGCACUAUCUUUACUUUAGACUUCAUAUCAACAAUCCAAACUUAAUAUAUUUAGUGCAUCAAUUUCACUUCUAUUUCUCAUCCUAUCAUGAAGCCAUAUUUCACUAACUCACAUCUUAAUGCAUUUUUUACUAAAAUUACUUAUAUCCUUUGCUCACGUGUUUCUUUAGAUUAUAUAAACUCCAACAACUUAUUUAUGAUAUUAAGCGCCCACUUUAACCUUGCUAAGUAAAUUUUGCCCAAAUCCGUCUUAAUAUUUUUAUAAUAUUAACCAUAUUCACAGCAACCAUAAUCAUUUCAAAUCUACUAGAUUAUUUUCCAAUUUCCAUUUACAUUAUUCCCCUUAUUUCUUCCAAUUAAUAUACCAUGCAAUCUAACACUUUCAGCUAAUUUAUGUAAAUAAAUUCCUCUGACAACAAUAAUUCUUCACAACGAAUCAUUUCAAAAUUUCUUAACUACACUUAAACACUAUUCAUCAAUUUCAUAUUUUCUUCUUUGCUUUAGUCCUAUGAGACAUCAUAAAAGAAUUUUUAAAUAUUGUAUUAAAGUAAUUUAAAUUUAAUUCAUAUCAUUACUAACCAAAAUUUAACUAAACAAGUGGGCUAGCCCCAAAUAAUCCAACUUCAUAACAAGCCCAAUAAAAAACAAGAAAAUUUUUACCUAUUGGGCUAGGUUGGCCCAAGCCCAAGUCUCCACCUUUCUUUUCUUUUGGGUCUACCCUUCCUUGUUUCCAUUAGGCCUCUUUUCUUGUUGCUAUUGGGCCCUUUUCAUGGGCUCUUUCCAUUUUUUCCUUAUUGGGCUAUGCCCACUAUUUUUUUUUCUUUUUUUUUCUUGGUCAAUAACACCUUUUUCUUUUUCUUCCUCCUCCCUGCCGGCGUCGCACCUUUCUUUCUCUCUUUUUUCUCUCUUCUAGCUUGUCAAGCCCAGCUCUAUAAUAUAUUUGCCAUGUCAUUCAUGUACUUGAUAACAUGUCUACAUACUUGGAUGUCUCGAAAAAUCGUUAAAAGUCGGUAUUAUAGUUAAUGGUACAAUUAAGUCGAUUAAAGCCUCGAACUAGUCCAAAUAGAGAUUUUGGGAUGUAUUUGAGAGUUAUUGAACCUUAGAAUGUCUUAAUAUGGUGAUUUGGAGUCCAAUCGAGAAUUUUUAUAACGUAGGGGCAAAAUGAUCAUUUUGCCACCUGAGGGCAAAAAUUUGAAUGUUGGACGAGAUUUUUGACCAAGUUUGACUUUUUGGAACAUAAUUUGAAUUUGAGAAGUGAAAAUUUUCAAUUCCGACAUUUUUCGAACAUAAGGGCAAAACGGUCAUUUCAAGUAUCCAUGAGGACGUAAUUAGAAUUUUUUAAAUUUUACACCACCAUGACACUUGUUAAACCCAUGAAUUUCAUCUAUUAUCAUUUUAUACUUUGGAUAAUUAUGGGAUUAUAUGUGGUGGAAAGGAAAAGCCUUAUUAGUUAAGUUUUAAAUGUGAACCAAUUAUAUGUUGCCAUGUGUCAAGUUUUUAUUAUUUUAUAAUUUCCUUUAUAAACUCAACAUAAACUCUCCCAUUCACCCUCUCAUUGCCGUCCAAGCCAAAGAACAAAAAGGGGAAAGAAUAGAAAAACCCUAAGGAGAAAAAAUUCAAGAGAAAUUCAUUGGAUUUUUGAAAAACGAAGCGAUCGGAGGUAAGAUUUCGCGAUUUAGCUUAAGAUCUACCUUAUCCAUGCUUUCUUUUUCAUUUUCUAUGGUUGAAACUCAAGUUUUCAUGAUGGAAGCAUGCUGGCCGAAUCAAGGGGGGAAGGUUUUGAUGAUGGUUUUUGAUAGAUUUCAGACUAUCUAGGUGUUUUUAGUGUUUUGUGAUAUUCGGUAUGAAAAACAAGCAAGAAAACAAUAUGUUCUUCGUCAAACCCUAAUUGGCCGAAUUCUAUAGGGAAUAUUUUGAAGAUGAAUUUUGUCAUAUUUCAUGUUAUCUAGCUCGUAUUUGAUGAUUCGUGAUAUCGGAUAUCGAAAACGGUUAUCGAAAAGUAUAGUUUAUUUAGUAAACGACUUGAACGAUAAUGAGAAAAUUUUAGUAAAUGGACUUAGAAUUGAUUUCUAAUGAGGUAUACAGACUUAUUGGAGCAUCGAAAGUGCAAUGAAUCUAUUUGGAGUUGAAUUGGAUGUUUUGGCUAAUUAAACAUUAUAUAGUGCGAGUUAGGUCGAAUACCAUUUCAGUCUAACAACAAUUGAACCUACGUAGAACACCAUCUUUAAGUGAUUAUUCGAACACUUCUCAUUCAAUUUCAUACAUUCAUAGAGAGCUUGAAAUAGUUUUAUAACAGUUUGGCACAAAUAUAUUGAAUUACUUGUUAUGUAUUAUGUAUAGGUGGUGAGCCCUCUGAUAAGGGUAAGGAUAUCGUACCCGAGGACGAAGAGUAGGAGUACUCCCGUUAUUGUGAGUGAACAGAGUAUCAUCUUAAUUAUCUAAAGUAGUUUAUACUCGUUUUUAUGAUUUUAAAGAAUAAUGAACUUAAAUUGUAAAUUAUUAUGUUUUAAAAUUUAAGUGUUGGUUAAAUGAAAUAAGGCUCAUAAAUUGUUUUGAAAUUGAAUGCUGGUUUUGGAAAUUAAGUAAGUGGAAACUAUAUACUUGUGAUAUAUAUAUAUAUAUAUAUGUUUUGACUAUUGUUAGUUAUGCCGACCCUGCUUUGUAAUGAAUGUUUCAGCAUAAUGGGAUUUGAAAUUGAUAUAUGGUUUGAAUUGAUGGCUUAUGACAAUGUGACGGCAUGAAUGGCUGGAUUUGUGUUUGUGUGGAAUAUAUGAACUAUUUUGUUUUACCUUGACAGGCUGGGUAAUAUCAUAUUAGCCAUGUCAUACCAUCGAAAUUUUUAUUGAUUUGGUGGGGUAAUUGAUUAGCUUACUGCAGUGGGCGGGUUUUCAUGGACCGGCCUAUUAGAGGGGCAUGAUAAAUUUCGUCAUAUUUUACCUUAGUAGGAGAGGCGCGGAGGGUAUCUCCUAAGGUAGUUUAGAGUUUACUUUAUGCCAAACUACCACGUGAGGGUGAAGCUCAGCCAACGCCAAGGAAUGGCUACGUUUUUAAACGUAAAAACAUGUUUUAUGUGCAUAUGUUAAUUUAACAGCCUUGACGGACUUGGUUGGAUGCCCAGCGCAAGGUGUCACCGAGUACGAUUUUUGGCACAAGCCAAGUUUUAAGAGAGUCAUAAGCCUUGUUGAUUUUUUUAUGAAAUGUAACUGUUUUAUAUGGGUUGAAAUGAGUUUUAAUGUUAUGAAUCAUAUUAUGAUGAGAUGUUUUAAUUGUCUCCAUUUACUCGGCUUUAGAUGUUAUAGAUGAACUUUGCUUACUCACUGGGUUUAUAAAAAUUCACCUCUUUUUUUUCACCCAUUUUAGGUUCAGAGUAGUCUGUAGACAGUCGAUUUUGUCGAGGGUUUGCUUUUGGAUUUGCACUUUUAGAAAUCGUAGGUCUAUAGUCCUGUUUAUUUUUGUUAUUUUGGGACUCACAUGUCAUUGUAAAAUAUUUUUGUAUACCCUAGCGCUGUGUGCUGUUAUGUCUAUGAAUUUAUUUUGUUAUUACACUACAGUAAUUGUUUACGUAUAAUUUUAUAAAUAUUGUUUUACAUGAAAAUAGAAUAUUUUAUCUAAUAUUUUUAUUUAAUAUUGUUAGUUAUAAAUUCACUUUAAAUGGAUGAUUUAGAUACCUAAAUUUAUUUUUAGAUAUGAAAUGUAUAUUUUUUAUUUAUAUAUUAUAUUUUAGCAGGUUUCAAAAUUUUUAGAUAAAAUGACCAAAAUACCCCUGUGCGGUAGAAAUUACUUUUUGAGUAUCUUUGAUAUGAAAAUAGUCUAUAUUCCUUUAAAACAUGAUAUUUAGUAACUGUUGCUCACAGAGGAGGUGGAAAACUGAUGCUAGAGCCUUGCAAGGUUUCGGUUGACAUUCCAAGUAAGGUAUGUCUAUCGAGACAUCGCAGCGGUUGUCACGGGCUCGAAGAAAGUACCGGGUCGUGACACAGCCUGCCUUCUUUCUCCUUCUUUCUUCUCCUCCAGCCGACCUUCUUUCUCUCUUUUUCUUUCCUUUCUUCUUUUUCUUUCUCUCAUUAUCCUUCAAUUCCUUUCUCCUUUAUUCUUUCUCUUAUUCUACUUCCUUUCCUUUCUCCUUUCUUCUUUCUUUUUCUUUCUUUCUCCUCGACUUGGCAGAUUUUCUUUCCCUCUUUUCCAGCUAGCAACACCAGCUCUUUCUUCUUUCUCUUUCUUUCAGCUAUUUUUUCUUCUCUCUCUUUGUCACGACCCGGAACUCCCAUCGGGCCCAAGACAAUCGCCGCGAUGUCUCGAUAGGCACUCAUUACUCGGAAUGCCGAUCGGAACCCUGCAAGGCUUAGCAUCAGCUUCCGCAUCUCUCCGGUGAGCGACAGCUAUUAAAUCUCGCAUUUCAAGAAAUCAUAAGUCGUUUCCAAAUCAAAAUAAUAUAAUAUUAUUUUCUGGCUCACAAUGGCAUUUUCAUCAUUUUUUUUAAAAAAAACUGAAACCCGCCAAAAACAUGGUGUAAAAGCUAAAUAUGUUCAUACAUACUUUAAAUCAGAUAACUAAAGUAUAAAAUUACUUUUACAAUGACACGUGGGCCCCCAACUAACCAAUAAGGUGCAAGUUUGUAAACCUAUAAUUUUGUCGAUGCAAGGCUAACUGAAGUCCUUGAUGCAAUCGGCUAUCUAUCGGCUAUCCCGAGCCUGAAAUGUGGGGAAUUGAGGGUGGUGAGAUUAUAAAAUCUCAUGAGUAAACAGAUACCAUCUAAAGUAGAGUAAAUGGAGACGAAUUAAAAUAAGUCAUCAUGUUGUAAUUUCAUUACUUUUCAACUCAUUUCAACCAAAUAAACAGAUAGGCUUAUGAUUUCCUGAAAAGCUUGGCUCGUGCCAAAAAUCAUUCUCAUACUCAGUUAUCAGGGAUACCUUGAUCGAGGGUUAUCCCAACCGAGUUUGCCAAGGCUGUUAAAUGUUUUUACAUCCGAAAUUUUAGCUAUGCCUUGGUGUUGGCUAAGUUUCACUCUCACGCGGUGGUCCACGUGAAGUGCACUCAAAUCUUUACCUCAGGAGAUACUUCAUCCAACAUCUCCCCCCGGAGGUAAAAAUAUAAUUGGGUUACCGUGCCCCUCUCAUAAGCAGUCCACGAAAACCCCCACCACUGCAGUGACUAUGGAUUAUUUUAUCUACCGCCUGAUUUAUAAAAUCUUUUUCUGUAUGACAUGGCAAUUUAUCGCAACCUAGCAUCUCAAGGCUGAAUACACAAUACAAAUAAUUCUAACACCAAAAAUCAGUUUAGCCAUUCAUACUCAUAUAUUGUCAUAAGCCAUUCAAUUUAAAACCAUAAAUUUGCAACACAAGCAGGUAGUCUCUAAUUACUCUAUUUUCAAAACCAGUAUUCAAUUUUCCUGAAAAUUUAUAAAAUCAUUUUAUAAAAUCAUAAUUUUUCCUAAAACAUAGCAAUUUACCAUUUAAACCCAUUUUCCAUAAAAUCACACAAUUGUAUAAAACUACUUUAGAUAAUUAAGAUGAUAAUAAGUUUACUCACAGUUCUAGGAGUCGAUGUACUCCUAAUCCCAAUCUCCAAACAUAAUCUCUGUACUUUUACCAAUGUAAUUUACUCACCACCUAUCCACAAUGUACAAUACAUAAUUCACCACAUCAGUGCUUGACCAUUAUAAAAUCAAUUCAGGCUCAGUGUAUAUGCAUGAUAUGAUAUGCAACUUAUCCGACUAUCGCUUAAAUGCAAUGUUGACCUAAUUCGGCCUAUUACCCGAUUAAAUGACAAUUGUGUCUGAUUUGGCUCCAAAUUGCUCCAUUUCAUUUCUAAUAUUUCAAUUCACUAAAUACAAUUCCAAUAAUCUAAAAUUCAGCCUAACAACCCUCACAAUUCUUCUUGAAAAUUUCGACCAUUGUGGUGCACUAUCACUAAAAAUUUUCCCAUUCCAUUUUCUCAUCAUAAAUCAUCAUUUCAUCAAUUUUUCAACCAAUUCACUUGAUCACAAAAUCAAUUCAUUACUUCUAAACUUCACAUAGGGUUCAGUCAUUGAAGGUUCAUGGGGAAAAUGGAUUCUUUUCUUGUUGUUUUGUUUCUAAACAUGCUUAACUAACUAAAAACACUAACAUAACUUAUAAUCAAAUCAAUCUAACAUCAUUCUCUCUCCAUACCCAUUUUGACCAGCCAUGAAUUCACCAUGAAAGCAUGUUUUUCAUCCAUGGAAAUUAAGGGAAAAUGCAUGGGUAAGGUAAAUCACUAGCAAAAUCAAAGAAAUUUUACCUUUGCUUGAUCAAAUCCUUGAAUUCCAACACUUUCUCUUUGAUUUUUCCCACAUAGGGUUUGUUCUUCCUUGGUUUCUCUUUUCUUCUGGUUUGGCUAACCACUAUGGGAGAAAUGGGCUGAUUUUUAUGCCUUUUUAUAAAGAAACAAUAAAAUAAUAAAAGCAUGACACAUGACAUUUCC
Molecule: long non-coding RNA, 81359 nt
Filed under: Theobroma cacao (cacao)
Lineage: Eukaryota; Viridiplantae; Streptophyta; Magnoliopsida; Malvales; Malvaceae
Description: long non-coding RNA (TCAC_LNC001231)
Source: RNAcentral